UUCGAAUCCCCCUAUAUGGAUUUAUUUCCAUUAGAUUAAUUUAGAAUAAGUAAAACAAGCAAUCACAAAUUCCAAAGUAACAAUGAAAAAUCUUAAAGAAAUAUUAGAAUGAUUACAAACAUAUUUCAAAUACAUCUCAAUUUAAUCCUAGUUGAAAUCUUACUUCAUUCAAACUUUAUGCCAAAAACUAACUAAAUCUUAAAUCCUUAACAAACUCAAAUAAAAUCCUAAAUCCUAAAUCAAAUCCUGAUCAAAUCCUAACCAAAUCCUAAAUCUUAAUCCUAAAUCAAAUCUUAAUCCUAAUUCUAAAUCCUAAACCAAAUCCUAACCAAAUCCUAAUCUUAAAUCAAGUCCUAAUCAAAUCUUAAUCCUAAAUCCUAAAGCAAAUCCUAAUCCUAAAUCAAACCCUAACUAAAUCCUAAAUCUUAACCCUAAAUCAAAUCCAAACCAAAUCCUAAUCCUAAUCCUAAAUACUAAACCAAACCUUAACCAAAUCCUAAUCCUAAAUCAAAUCCUAACUAAAUGUUAAUCCUAAAUCAAAUCCUAACCAAAUCCAAAACCCUAAAUCAAACUCUAAAUCAAAUCCUAACCAAAUCUUAAUGCUAAAUCAAAUCGUAACCAAAUUCUAAUAAUUUCUACAACAAAAUUAAACCUCAAUAACUAAUGAAUGAAUUGUUGAUCUUAACUCAAAUUUUGUACUCUUCUUAAAAACUAAGUUGAAAACGAGCACAAAAUUUUUUAAAAAGAUCGGAAUUAUCAAAUAGACGAUAACUUCAAAAACAUGCUCGGGUGUUGCUCAGCCUCCUUCUCCAACCUUGAUGUCAAUGUCCCAGAGCCAAUAUCUCUCAUUUUUAAAAUUCGAUUGAUCUCAAAAUUUUCAUACACAUAGAAAAAUAAGUUUAAUAUCCUUUGACAUAAAUUUUACUCCAAUCCAACUAGUAGAUUGCAAGAAAUCUUUAAAACCCUCACUAGACCUAAAAUUCUACUUUCUGAGACCUUGACUCAUUUAAACCUCAAUAAUCCUUAAUUCAACUAUUAGAUCGAGCUAAGAUUCAUAAUCCAUAUUAAACACAACUAUGACCAUUAACCUACAAAAUUUCACCCAUAGAUCUAUAAUAAAACUCUCAAAGUCACUAGAAACAUCAAUCCUAUUUUAUUUCACAAAACUUAAGUCAUCUAAAAAUAAUCUUGAUUUUGUAAAGCUCUUACAAAGUCGUAACAACUUUCAAUUAUCCAAAUCUAAUGCUUAUAAAAAUUUUAUUCAAUUUUCGAUCAAACUCCACUCUUUGAUGUGCCAAAGAACCUCGGAGUCGUCGUCGAGACUCAGUUUUGUGCCUUAGGGUCUGAUUUCGACCCUGGUUCAUAACUAGUGCCUUCUAGGUAUUAAUAUCUAGUUUUUCUAACUAAAUUUUGCUAGAAUUUAUUCUUAACUUUCUUUUACAAGAUGCCUAUAUUAUUCAUUUUUCCAAUCUACUUUAUUUUGUUUUAUUUAUGGUUCUACAAAGUAAGUAGAAGUCACCUUUCUAAAAGGCAGCAUUGGUACCUUUUAAUUUUACUACCCUUUUGACUAUUAAUUAUAUUUCUAAUAUAAUUUGCUCUAAUACUUUGAACUAAGAUCUUCUACAUUAUAAUAAUUUCUACACUCUUUCACCUAUUAGUCAUGUUAUAUCAUGACAAUGCAUUGAUCUUUUGUUAUUCUUUAGCUUCUUUUAACUACGCCUUCAUUAUUGCAUGUAGCUUUGACAAACGAUUUGUGAAAUCUUUUGCCACAAGAUUAUCAGGUUUUAAAAAGUCAAAAGUAUCAAGUUGUAGAUGAUAACCAUAAUUGGCAAAAAAAGAUGUUUAUUUUAUAGAAGAAUAUACUAUAUUAAUAUAAGUAAACUAUGCUAAUGGCAAAAGAGUUGUCCAAUCAUCUUAUUGAUAGUAGAUGAUACAUCUUAAAUACUGUUUCAAGACUUCAUUAACAUGCUCCGUUUGUCUAUCAAUUUGUGGAUGGAAUACGGAAGAUAGUUUUAUAUCUACUUUUAGAAUCUUGAAAAGAGUCUACCAAAAUCUUGAUAUAAACUAAGUUCCUCUAUCUGAUAUAAUAUCCUUGGAUAAUUCAUGAUAGCAAUAGAUGUUGUCAAGAAAGAGUUUAGCUAUUUUUUUACCUAUGAUAGAUUUUGUACAUGGUACAAAAUAUGCCAUGUUAGUAAAACAAGCUACUAUUAUAAAUAUAGAGUCAUAAGAACUUGAGAUUGAAAGAUCCGUGAUGAAAUCCUUAGAAACAAAAGACCAUGGUUGUUCUGGAAUGGAUAAUGGUUGAAGAAAUCCGUAAGGUUGAUGACAUGGAGUUUUUGAUUUUGAACAAAUAUUGCAUGAUUGAACAAAGUCUUUCACAUCUUUUUACAUUUGUGGCCAUAGAAAAUCUCUAGAUAUAAUCUCCAAAAUCUUAUUGUAUCCAAAAUAUCAUGUUGCUGAAAAGUCGUGACAUGCUUAAAGAAUGCGUAAUCGUGCUUCUCUUUUUAGAACAUAUAAUUGACCUUCAAAAUAGAAUAGGUUGUUUCUGAACUCAAAUUUAGAAGUAUCUUAGAAUUUAGAUGAAAGAUUCUUAAUAUUGUAAAUAAGGAGAUCAAAAGAUAUACUUAAUUGGAUUUAUUUCAUAAGGAUUGAAUCAACAAUCAAUGUUGAUUUCAUUACUCGCAAAUAAAAAUACUAUGGCUUCAAGAAAAUUGUUCUUUGUUGAUCAAAAGAUGCAUCUUCUUUUUUUGGUAUACGAUAAGAACGUCUAGAAAGAGCAUUUGACAAACCUUGUUAUUUUUUAGGUUGAUUCAUGAUCUUGAAAGCAAAUCUUGAUAAAGACAUAUUCAAACAGGCUUGGCGGUAAUUCUAAAUAUAUCAUGAUAUGAAGUACUUGAGAUUCUUAUGGUCCAUAUACAUAGUAACUAGAUUGGAAGUACCUUCUAGAUGAUGACACAAUUCUUGAAAUGAAUCCACAAUUACAAGAAGCUCUUUCUUAUGGAUUUUAUAGUUAAUCUUGGUUAUUGAAAAUUUUCUAGAAUAAAAAGCUAUUGGAUAAAGUUUAUCAUUUAUUCCCAUUUGUGAUAAUAUGAUACCUAGAGCAAAUUUUGAUGCAUCUAUUUCCAUAAAAAAUACCUUAAAAAAGUCAAUACAAUACAAGAUUGGUGUAGAAAUAAACUCUGACUUCAAAGCUUCAAAAGAUGCUUUAGCUUCUUUGCUCCACUCAAGUUUGUCUUUGCAAGUCAAAUAUAUAAGUGGAGCUACAAUUUGAGAGAAGUCUUUGAUAAAGAUUCGUUAAUGAUUGACAAAGCCCAAAAAGUAUUAAACAUCUCUUAUUGUUUUUGAAAUCUUCUAAUCCAUAAUCUUUUGAACUUUUUUAGGAUCCAUCACAAGUUCAUCAUUUGAAAUGAUGUAUCCUAAGAAGUUGACAUGAGUAGUAAAGAAUAUACACUUUUUUAUAUUGGCUUAGAGUUCUGUAUCUCUUAAUUUUUGUAACAUAUGACAAACAUGAAGUUCAUAUUUAUUUGUGUUCUUAGAAUAGAUUAAGAUGUCGUCUAGAUAAUAAACAAAAAAAUUGUCCAAAAAUUCUCAAAAAAUAUCAUUCAUUAGAUGUUGAAAAGCUGUUGGUGUAUUUGUAAGUCCGAAAGGCAUGACAUUGUAUUCAAAAUAUCCAUACCUAGUUCAAAUUGUAGUCUUCCAUUCAUCUCUUUCUUUAAUACAUACUAGAUUGGAUGCUUCUUGUAGAUCCAUUUUUGUGUAGAUCUUAACUUGAUUCAAUUGAUCAAGAAGUCCGGAUAUCAAAAGUAGAGGGUACCUAUUCUUGAUGGUGAUCUUGUUGAGUCCUCAAUAAUCAACACACAUCUAUAAUGAUCCAUCUUUCUUCUUUUCUCAAAUAAGAUUGGAGCUCCUACUUGCAAUUGAGAAUGGCAUAUGAAAUUCUUGACCAGAUUUUCUUCAAUAUAUUCCUUGAAUUUAGCUAAUUUAUUUUGUGAUAAACUAUAGAUUAGUCCAAAUAGAAAUUAUGCUCCUUCUUGAAGGUCGAUUGAGCAAUCAUAGGAAUAAUGUUCUAGAAGAGUAUCUACAUUCUUCUUUUUGAAUACAUCUUAAAACUCUUCAUAUUGGCUUGGAAUGCCACUUAAAGUCUUUGCAUGAUUAGAAAUAGGUGUAGCAUAAAUUAUAUAAGGUGAUUCUUCUUUUGCAACAUGCAAGAAAGCUCUUUCACCUACAAACACAGGUUUUAUUGUCCUAUAUUUAUGACUUUUUACUGGAUUAAUUUCACUCUUAGUUAUAUUUUUAGAGAAGUGAGGAGUACAAGAAAUCCAAUCUAUAUAAGAAUUAUAAUUUUUUAACUACGAUAAAUCUAAAAUGAUUAGAUUAAAAGGAGAUUUAAUUAUAUUAAAAAUUAAGCAACUACCAUGAUCAUUUAUUGCUACAUCUAUAGGAAGUGUUUCAUUAAUAAUAUCUCUGGAAGAUAACAGAUGACCAUCUAUGACUUCUACAUGAACAUGUUUAGUUUUUUGUACUAACAAUAUUUUAUAAUUUUUAACAAAUUCUAUAUCUAAAAAAUAACCUGAGGCUCCUGAAUCUAUCAAGGUAGAGGCUUUAUAAUUAUUAGGUCCUAAAUGCACAUCUAUUAUAAAAUAAAGAGAGGAUUAUGAGAAGAAAACAAGACCUUCAUUAGAAAUUAUACAAGAUUCCAACUACACGAUCUCUAUUUUAGUUGGACAAAUUUUUUUCUGACACAUUGUCUUCUUUGACAGUUGCAUUCCUCAUUUUGUGGUUUUGUUACUUCUUUGGACAAUAUUGAGCAAUGUAUUUAGGUUCUCCAUAAUAUAAGCACAAUCCUUCUUGAUGGCAAUGAGUCUUUUCUUGCUCAAUAAGAAGUUUAAAAUAUAUCACAUCAAUUUGCAUAUCCUCUACUUUUGAAUGUAUGUAUUGACAAGAUAUUGGUGUUGCCAUCAAAUUGAAGUAAUGUUGAGGCCCACUUGUGUGACUUUCAAAUCAAAAUUCAAAAAGUCAAUUGUUGCACUUUAUAGCAAAGUCAAUUGCUUGACUAAAUAUUUGAGGAUUAAAUAAGUUGAGCAUCAAUUUUUUUACUUCAUAUUAUAAUCCAUAGAGAAAUUGGCUAAUAAGUACAGCAUCAUCUCACUUGAUAUCAAUUAAAAGUUGUCAAAAUUGUAAAAUAUAUAAUAUUAUAGAUUGAUUGCCUUGUUGUCUAAUAUGAAUCUUAUUGGUUGCAACAUAAGUUGCAUUAUGUUUUUUAUACAUAGACCAAAAUUUUGCUAAAAAUACCUUUAGAUUAUCUAAUAUUGGAUCUUAUUGUUCAAAAAAAGAUAAAAACUACAAUAGUGUUGAACCUGAAAGAAGUGUACUAAUGAAUCUAACUUAUUAUCCUAGAGUUGGAUAGCUUUGAGGUUGAAGUUCAAUCACAAGUUGGACUUGAUUGAUAAAUCUUUGAAUUUUGGAUCUUGUACCAUCAAACUUUUCAGAUAGGAUAAUUCUUGGUUCUCUAACAUUUGAAGGAUGUUCCACCAUGGAUAGAGGAACAUGAUUUGGUGCAGAUGUUGAGGCAAUUCUAAUCAUCUCUAUAUCUUCACUUCUUGCUAUUCUUGUUGAUCCUUGUGGUAGUAAGCAAAGUUGAUAUAUUACAAGCAUCAAUUCUUUUAAUUUCUCUUGCAUUUGUGCCAUUACAUCCUUCAUUUCAACAAACUUUGCCAUAAUAAUACUCAGAAAGGUAUCUAAUACCACUCAAGUUAAAUAGAAGAAAUUAUUUGAGGACAAAAAAAAUACUAAGAGUAAUAUCAGUUUAGAAGAGGAUAAUCCAAAACUUCUAAUAUAGUUAUAUCUUAUCACAAAAAAAGGGUAAUCCACUCUUAAUCAAGACAAGUCAAAGCUCUCAUAUUUUAACUGUACUCUUGUCAAUCUUCUUUCUUGCUUCUACUCUAAUUUCAGGAGUCUCAAGUUUUCUUAUCUUUUGGCAAUAAGCCAUUCCAAUUCUUUUUUAAAAUAUGUACUUCAUUAUUUUUAUUUUAUCAAUUUUUCUUUGCCAUGGAUUUCAUUGGUUUAUGCAUCAUCUUCCAGUUCAUGUCCUUAAUAGAUAUGGCUUUGGAUCCUUUUUUUUAAUAAAAUUUGAUUUUACAUCUUUUUUUUUAGUUAUGUUUUUGUUUUUUUCUAUUUUCAUUUGCUUAGUUUUGUCUUUCAUCUCCUAUUUUGUUUAAUUCCAUUCCAUUUUGUUCUAAUUUUUUUUUAUUAUAUUUUGUAAUAAGACUUUAUGUUCUUAUAGAUUAGUAGGACUUUUGGAUUUUUUAAGUAGUUUUGUUUUAUUUUAUUCAUUUUGAAAACUAUAGUAACUGUCUUACAAAUUUUUUUGGAUCUUCUUCCUCACAGUUCCAUUACUUGCAUACUAUAGCUUGUUUGAAAGCUAGUACUUGAUCUAGCUUCUUUUUAAAUAUCAAUACAAAAAGGUAAAAAUGUAAGAAGUGGUGUAAAAAAAUCCAAACUAAUAUUAAAUCUCUACUCUCAAAAACUCUAACAAAAAAAAAAAAAAAAAAAAAAAAAAAAAAAUCCAUUUGAUUUUAAAACCUCUAUUCUAACCUUCUUUUAAUACCCACCUUGAACCACUAUAUAGCUAGGAAUCUAUCCUAAAAGACAACACCUUCAAGCUCAAAUAAUCUAUUUAAGCUAAUAACUUCUUAUUUUAAAUUUUAUUCAAAUUUGUGAAUAUAUUAGCAUUAUAUUCUUACUCUUAUAUCAAUGAAAUUAAUUACCUUCCAAAUAGUUUUGAUGCACUUAAAUUAAGUGCAUCACGACAUAAUUCAUCUUAUCUUGUUCUUUGAAGACUUUAAUUUUUUUUUUUUUGCCAUAUUAGUCUUUAAUGAAAUCCCAUCUAACUCUCAAAGAGAAUAAGUUGCAUUAUUAUGCACUUCAACUACCUCAUAGGAUUCAAACCAAUUUCUUAUAAAUUUACAAAGAAUAGAAUAUUGGUGCAAUAAAUUACUAUUAUAAAUAAAAAUCUAAUUAACUACUUGAAUUGUCUUAGGCUUCAAUUAAUAAGUUUUAUCAAAUCUUUCUUUGUUGUUCAACCUUGUUACUUUAAGCUUUUCUAUAGCAACUUGAUGAUCUUCAAGCAAUCUUUUUAGUUAAUAAAUUUGAAGUUCCAACAAUCUUUCUCUGUCAAUGUCAUCCUUUCAAAACAAAAAUAAUCAAAAAAGAAUAGUCUCGUCUGUAGGCAUUAAAGGCUUUUAUUUUAAUAUCAAUUCUAUUGUCAUAUAGCUAAUAAUUAUGCUAUGAGUAGUCUUAUUUGUCCAUAAAGCAAAUGACAAAAGCUUAGAUAACAAUCUUACUUGAUCCCUACAUGCCUUGACCAAAAAUUGAAUGAUUACAGGUUGCCUACUUUCACUUUUGCUAAUAGCUUUGGAGUUGUUAGAGGUGGUCAAUUUCAAUUGCAUCUCAUAUCUUGUAAAGAAAUUAUGUACCUUUGCUAUAUCAAGGUCAUCCUAGUCUACUGUCACUCUUCCAAUACUUCCAUAAUGACAUAUAAUAUCUUCCAAAAUAAACUAAUAUACCACCUCGAUAGACUUUAACCUCAAUAUCCUUUCUUCUAUAUAAUUUGAAAAUUCCUCUCUUGCCAAAACUAAAUACUUCAUGCCCUAAAGCUUCAUUGGUAUGGCAACCAAAUCAAUCACUAAUUAAAAAUAAAUGAAAAAUAAAUAAAUAAAUAAGGCAUAAACCAUCUCUAUACUUCAUCUUGGAUCACCAUUGAUACUCUUUAUAAGAGCUUAUAUACUCCUCUACAUUCUUAUAUAAGCCCUUCUACCAAUAGUGCUCCUUCAUCUUGAUGUAGGUAGUCCAAAAUCCUCUAUAUCCAAUCUACAAUGUAUUAUGAAACUCAUCUAAUACCUUAUGUUUGAUCUCUAAAUCAUCUACUACUUUUGAUAGAAUACCAUCUCUUUAUUUUGGCCUCUUCUAUAAUAAUCUUUUACAUAAAAGAUAGUUUUAGGAUUGAUGCCUAAUAUCCUUAAAGAUCUUGUCUAAUCAAUCAUCUUUCCUUUCUAUUGUGCUCAAAUAUAAGCUAGUGUCUCUUAAUCUCUCAUCAUAUAAAUCAAUUUUGAAGUAUAGAAUGUCAUCACCUUGAUCUCCUUUGCUUAUGGCAAAUGCAAAGCUUUAGAUCAAGUUUCCAUCUUCUUCUUCUACAAGCAAUUUUUUCUCUUGAAUACUUAAUUUAAGACAAUAUAUCUACUACCAAGUUUUUCUUGCCUCUAAUAUGUACCAAAAUAGGAUCUAAAAACUUAAUGAAAGUAAUCCAUAUAAGUAUGGUAAUAUCCGAUGUAAUACUAUUGAAAAUCAUUCCAAAUAAAGAUAAAGAAUUGGUCUCCAACACCACAUGAGUACCUACCAAGUAAUUCUUCAUAGCCUUUAAUGUGGUAAGUACAUUCCAAGCUCAUUUUUUACUUGUAAAUAAGCUCUUUGCUUCUCAGUGAGAAUCCUUGCUUCAAACCUAAUUACAAAUUGAUUAUCCUCUUUAUUAUCUUGUCCAAUAGUCCAUCCAAUGGCUAUAGGACUUGUAUAAAUUAUCACUAUCAUUGGUCUUCCAUAAUUAUAAUCUACUUGAGUUAAUAUUAGUAGUAAUUUCAAAACUACCUUUAAUCUGUCUAUGGUCAAUUCUUGUUCUUCAUUCCAUGCAAACUUCUUCUCUUUUUUUAAUAAUCAAUAAAAAGGCUUUGCAAUAUGAGCAUGAUAGAAAAUCCAUAUAUUAUAAAGUACAUAAGCACCCAAAAAUCUUCUUACCUUGUCAGUACUCCUACAUGCCUUCAUCCUUAUUAUGGCAUCUAUUUUAUUUAGGUUUUAUUUUUUUCUAUAGCUUUUGCAUAAAUGUCUAAUAAGCAUAAUUUCUUCAAAUCUAAAUUUUGACUUUUCAAAGAAUAAUAUAAGAUUUACUUUAUCAUGUCUUUUCAAAAUGUACUCUACAUCUUCAAUAUGUUCUUUUACAAAUAUACAACAUCCAUCUUCUCUCAAAGUCAAAUUUUUAGUUUCAUCAUUGUAACAUUUUAUUCAAAUAUCAUUCAAAAAAGAUAUGGUCUUUUCUAGCAUAAACUUUCUUAAAAUUUGAUUCAUUACAUUUUACACAUGAGCCAUAAAAUUAGUUGCACUUUGUAAUAAGAUACAUAUGAGUAUUAGAUCCAAAGGAGUCUUUAUAGUGAUUACGUUCUUAUUGUCCUCUAUUAAUUGAAAUUAAUCAUAAUUUGAAUAUAAAUCUUUACUAGAGUAAAUGAUAUUUUUCAAAAAAGCUUAUGCUACUUCAUCUACUACUACUCUAGACUUCAUAUUUUUAAUAACCAUUUUGUUGGUUGGUUGCAUAUCUUGAAUGAAUCUGAGUGUCCUACACUUCUUUUGCAUAGUGAACCAUCAAUUGGAAUAAGGUGCAAUAGAUGGUUUAAGAAUGUCCCUCUUGACUUUUUUUUUAAUAAAUCUACAAAUGUGGAAAGCAAAGCCUUUAGCACCAAAGUAGACUUCAAGUUCUAAAGCAUAUGUCAAACGGUAAAAAUAAUCGUAGGUACUACUAUACUAGGAUCUACACAUUGAAUUUCUUAAAAAGCAAAGGUAAAAGCCUUAUUAUAUUUGGAGAGCAUCUCUAGAACCUUCUCUUUUUCCAACUUAGUUAAAAAAUCACCUCUUCCAAUCUUCACUUUAUUCAAAGAUUCUUUAAUGAACUUGUAACUAAUCUUUCUCAAUUCCCUCAAUUCCGGCUCUAUAGUAAUUUAUUUGAUGUGGUCUUUGGUGUCUUAAGGUAAUUGAAUUGCCACAAGCUUUACCUUCUUAGCCAUGAUUUUAUACUUAGUCUACAUCAUAACUUCUUUUAAUAUUAUAUAACUAUCAACUGUUUUCAGCUUCUUACAAAAUUCUAAAAUUUUUCAUAUAUUUUCCUUGAGUGAAGCUCCACAAUAACAUUAGCUCUAAUUCCAUCCAUAUGCAAAGCCAAUCCUUCUAAAACCUUUAUAUAAUCAACUUCAAACUUUUUUUUCUUCAAAAACAUCCAAAAUGCAUUCACCACUUGAAAUCACAUCCAAUCCUUUUGAAUUUUUUUCAUAUUUUUUUAUCUAACCCUUACACAUGUGAUCUAAAUUUCAAAUCUUUUGAAAUCUCAAAACCUCCAAAGUUAUCAAACCCAAAAAUCUAUAUUCAAAGCUUUUUAUAUUAAAAAGUAUAUAGAUAAAAGACUCACUUGCAUCCUUAUACUUCCAUGCUAUAGGAAUAUUUUUUAGAAAUCUGAAAACUCUUCAUUGGUCCUCAAAGAAACUUCUUUAAAUUAGUCUCUAUUUUGUUGAUGAUCUGAUCUUACCGUGAAGAAUUGCAUUGAUUUUUUUUCAUCAUAGUCUUUAAUUCUUAUAUAGUCAAAGCCAUCAUUUAAAACCUUGGUCUCUAUCUUCAGAGUCGUGAUAUAAGGUUGCUUUAAAAUGGCAAGGUAAGUAGCAAAAUUUUGUACAAAUAAAUUUUGCUCUACCUCUACAUGUCCAAUCUUUAUCAUAACUCCUAGAUAUGCUCUAUGUAAAUCAUCUCGCUCAUUGUUGGUGGCCCUCAACACCCAUCCAUAGUUAAAAUCAAUAGCCCACUUGUCCAUCUCAUAAAUCUUCUUUAAUAUGAUGUUGAUCUCCGAUCCAUGAUCAAUAAAUGUGAAAAUGAGGAUUUGGAUAGAGUCACAAAGAGGUUGUUUUUGGAAUAGAUUGAGCAAGAAUAAAGGAGGUCUAUGGUAGUCCAUAAGGUAGGUCAAUAAGGUAAUUAAGAGAUGAAUUAUAGUUUGAUAUUUUAAAGAAUGAAUUUACUUCUGUACCAAUUUUAUAUUGUGUUGACUUUUGCAAGGCAUUUUUUAUAGAAAUAAAUGCAUCAAAUUUUUCCUUAGGUGUAAUAUUAUCACAAAUGGGAGUAGUUAAUAAACUCCAUCUAAUAUCUUUCUAUUCUAAAAAAAUUUAGUUGCCAAGAUUAAUUAUGAGAUCCACAACAAAGAGUUCUUUGUAAUUAUAUAUUCAUUUCUAAAAUGGUGUCAUUAUCUAGAAGGUACCUUGAAUUCAAUCAUUCUAUAUAUGGAUUACAAGAACCUUAAGUAAUUCAUGUUGAAAUAUAUUUUUAGUCAUCACCAAGCUUUUUGGAGCAUGUUUUUAUCAAGAUUUAAUUUCAAGAUCACUUAUCAAUUUGAAAAACAAUAAGAUUUGUUGAAUGUCUUUUUUAGACGUUUUUGUCUUGUGUCAAAAGAAGAUGCAUUUUUUAAUCAAUUAAGAUUUUUUUUCUUGAAAUUAAAGCAUUUUUACCUUUGAAGAAUAAAAUCAAUAUUAACUAUUGAUUCAAUAUUUAUCAAGCAAAUUCAAUCAAGUAUGUUCUCUCAUCUUCUUUUUCAUAAUAUGAAGGAUACCUCUUCUAAGUCUUAUGAUAUUUUUAAGUUCAAGUUUAAAAACAACCUACUCUAUUUUGAAAAAAAAUUACAUAUUUUAGAUGGCAAGGCAUAAUUACAUGUUUUUCAAGCUUGUCAUGACUUUCCAAUAAUUAAGAAUUUUAGAUACAAUAAGACUUUGGAACUAAUAACUAGAGAUUUUUACUGGCUUCAAAUAUAAAAGGCAAUCAAAGACUUUAUACAAUCAUGUGAUCUUUGUUUAAGAUCCAAAACUCUUUACUAUCAAUCUUAUGGACUUUUUUAACCAUUACUAAUUCAAUGAUAACUAAGUUUUUUUAUUUUUUUGAAUUUUAUCACAAAUCUUUUAGUCUCAAGUUUAUAUGAUUCUACAUUUAUGAUAAUAGAUCAUUUUAUCAAGAUUUCAUAUAUUGUACUACACAAAAAAUCUAUCAUAAGUAAAAAAAAAUAGCUAAGUUUUUUUUUUGACAACAUCUAUUGCUAUCAUGGAUUAUCCAAAGAUAUUAUAUUGGAUAAGAAAACUCAAUUUAUAUCAAGUUUUUGGAGAAUUCUUUUCAAGAUUCUAAAGAUGAAUAUGAAACUCUCUUUUACUUUUCAUCUUUAAACUGACAAACAAAUAGAAUGGGUGAAUAAAUUUCUUGAGUAGUAUUUGAGGUAUACCAUCAAUUAUUAUUAAGAUGAUUGUGUAAGUCAUCAAAUUGACUCAUUUGUUGUUUUAAGAUAAAAAUAUGCAUUAAGAAUACUUUGAAUCAUAAUAUAUAGUGAAUAUUAUAAAAAUCCUUAAAAAAAUAGAAAAUUAAAAUGUUAGUGGUGGAAAUGGAAUCUUAGUAAGUCUUAGAGAUAAUUAUCUUUAUUAGUUUAGUAUUUUUAUUCUUUGUUGAAUAUUAAGGAUUAUUUAUUAAGACCAACAUUUAUAUUGGCCUUCUAUCUAUAUGUACUACUUAUAAAAACUAUAAAUAUUAGUAAUUAGAAGAAGCAUGAGAAAGAACAUCAUGUCAUUUUAGUUAUUGAUAUAAAAAAUAAGAUUUAUAGUGGAUUUAAAUUAAUUUUUAUUAUUAUCAAAAAUCACUAAGAUAGAAAAAUAUAGCCUUAGAUAGAUAUUAGCAUUAUAGAAAUAUUAUAGGAUUUUCCAAAUUUUAUUUAGAAUUUAUAAAAUAUUUUUUAGGAAUUUUUAGAGCAAUUUUUAAGAUCUUCGUAAAAAUGAGUUUUACCACCUUGGGAGCCUUUAUGAAGAAAUGGAACAAGAUUUGAAGGCCACUCUAAAAUUCUUUGGCUAAUUGGAUGUUUUUAAAUACCAUAGUAAGGUCAAAAAUGUAAAAAUGUUGGUCCUUCUAAUAGAAAGUAGGAGGAUCAAGAGUUAGUUUAGUCCUUGUAUGAAGGGGGGUGCACAAGUCUCAUAUGGAUUGUAGCACCUUGAAGGUAGUUAGGAAGAUAAGACUAAGGCCUUGUGGCCUCUCUUUAAAAUCCUUAAACACUACAUGUGAGCCUUGGUGAGGCUUGAAUCCUUGAUCUAUAAGCAAGUUAUCCUUGAGAUAAAAUAUUUUUACUUCACUUUUCAAUUAUUUAUUUUUUAUCUUUAAAACUUCAUAACUUACUCAUAGUAAUUCGGAUUUAUAUAUUUUUUAUGUCAUUAAAAAGAUAAUAAAAUCACCUAUCUAAAAAUAUAUUUUUUUUAUUUUUUACUUCUACUUUUUAUUGGAUGAAAAUACAAUGAAUAGACUGUGACUUAGUUUUAGGUAUUGUAAUUACUUGAUUUCAUUUCUUUCACUUGUAUUAUAGUUGUUCUUUUUUGAUUUUUUUCCAAUUGCAUACUUCACUUCACACCACCAAUUAUAAGCAACUCUUAAUUGUGGCCAUCUUAUAAUUGAGAUUGAAGAGUAAAAUUUACACACUAUUUUGACUUUGCAUGUAUUUGUAGUUGAUUGAUAGGUUAGAAACUUAAUCAACAAGCUAACUAGAUGCCACAUGUAUUGAUAGCUUACGAAAGAAGCUAAUUAUGUGGUGCCUAUAUACAAAAUUUAUCUUAUAAAUUAAGAUACAUAUUGUACUAAGUCAACAUAUUUUUGGAGGUUCUAUACAAUGUCUCCACAUAGAUCUUAGAUAGAUAGUAUAUGUAGAGGCAAAAAUAAAUCCUUCUUUAUUUUUAUUAACUCCUUUUUUGUUUCUAAUAUAGUUUCAAAAGUUUCUAAUUUUCUUAUCUUUUGGCAAUACCUAUUCCAAUUUAUUUUUUCAUAUAUAUACUUCUUUAUUUCUAUUUUGUCAUAUUUUUUUGAGAAAAUUUCACUUAUUUAUUUACUUUCAUGAAAUUCUUAUCUUUGACAAAUUGAUAAGAAUAUACUUACAAUAUCAAAGCUUUGUCUUUUUUUGAUUAAGAGUAUAUUAUUUCUUUCUCUUGAUAAGACGUAAGCAUAUUAGGAUUUAUAGAUUAUCUUCUUUUAAACUGAUAUUAUCUUUAGUAAUUUUUCUUUGUUUUUAAGUCUUCUCUUCUAUUUUUCUUGAGAAAUAUUAGACAUCUUCUCUUCUUUUAGUAUCAUCAUGAUAAAGCUUCUUGGAAUGAAGAGUGUAAUGGUACAAAUAUAAGAACAAUUGAAGAAAUUAAUGCUUGCAAUGCAUCAACUCAAUUUACUGCCAUAAGAAGUAAUAAGAAUGGUAAGAAGCAAAGAUAUAGAAAUAAUUCGAACUACUUCAACAUGUACACCAAAUCAUCUCUCUUUUCAUAUUGUAGAACAUCUUUCUAGUAUUAAAAAAUUAAGGAUUGCACAACUCAAGAAGUUUGAUGGCAUAAGAUCUAAGUUUCAAGGAUUUAUCAUUCAAGUAUAAUCUAUGAUUGAACUUCAAUUCCAAAGCUAUUCAACUUCAAGAUCGCAAGUUAGAUUCAUUAAUACUUUCUUUUCAGAUUCAACACUAUCAUCAUUUUUAUUUUUUUUUUGAAUGACAAGAUCCAAUAUUAGAUAAUCUAAAGGCUUUUUGGUAGAAUUUUCAUCCAUGUAUAGAAAACAUGAUGUAAUUUGUGCAGCUAAAAUCUUAUACAAUACCUAAUAAAGGUCAUAUUUUCUCUUUAGAAUCUUCUCCUUAUUUUACAAUAAAUAUUAUUUUAGAAUCUAAACAUAUCAAAGCCUCUACUUUAUUAGAUUCAAGAGUCUUAGUAUAUUUUAUAGAUGAAAAAUUUGCUAAAAGAUAUAGCAUACCUUUAAUAAAGAAAACUAAACCUGUUCAUGUACAAGUUAUAGAUGGUUGUGUAUUAUUUGUAGAAAAUACUACUUAUAAAAUCCUUCCUAUUCAAGUAACAAUUAAUGGUCGUAGUAGCUUUGUAAUAUUUAACAUCAUUAAAUCUCUAUUUAAUCUAAUUAUUUUAGAUUUAUAAUGGCUAAAAAAAUAUAAUUCAAAAAAAGAUUAGAUUUUUUGUAGUCUUGACUUUUUUGAAAGUAUAACUAUGAAUAUUAUUAAUCAAGUAGAAAGUCAUAAGUUUAGUACAACCAAAUAUGUAUUUAUAGGUGCAAGAACUUUCUUACAUACCAAAAGAAGGAUUGUUGUAUAUUAUUUAUAUUGCAUUUGUUUCUAAUGGUAGAAAGAUUUCAAGUGGCAUUUCAAGCCAAUAUCAAGAUUUUCAAGAUAUAUUUGAGAAGAAGAAUGUAAAUAUUCUAUAAAAACAUCGUUUCUAUGAUUGCUCAUUUGAUCUUUAAGAAAGAGCUCACUCACCAUUAAGACCAAUUUAUAAUUUAUCAUAAAGUGAGGUGGCUGAAUUCAAAGAAUAUAUUGAAGAAAAUCUAGCUAAGAACUUUAUAUGUUAUUCCAAAUCUCCAACAAGAGCUUCAAUUUUAUAUGUAAAGAAAAAAAGUGGAUCAUUAUGGAUGUGUGUUGAUUAUCAAAGACUCAAUAAAAUCACCAUCAAGAAUAGGUAUCCAUUACUUUUAUUAUUUGGACUUCUUGAACAAUUGAAUCAAGCUAAGAUCUAUACAAAAAUAGAUCUAUGAAAAGCAUAAAAUUUGAAAUGCAUCAAAAAAGGAGAUGAAUAGAAGAUUGUGUUUUGAACAAGGUAUGGAUAUUUUGAAUACAAUGUCAUUGCUUUUGGACUUACAAAUGCACCAUCUUUUUAAUAUUUAAUGAAUGAUUUUUUUUAAGAGUUUUUAGAUGAUUUUAUUAUUUUUUAUCUAGAAAAUAUCUUAAUCUAUUCUAAGAACACAAAAGAAUAUGAAUUUUAUAUUUAUUGUGUGUUAAAAAAACUAAGAGAUGUGGAAUUCUAUGCUAAGAUAGAAAAAUAUAUAUUCCAUACUACUUACGUUGAUUUUUUAAGUUACAUUAUUUCAAAUGAUGGAUUUAUGAUGGAUCCUUAGAAAGUUCAAACUAUUAUAAAAAAUUUCAAUGGCCAAGACCAACUAUGAUAUUCACAAGAAAGAACUUCUUUUAAUUAUAGAUUUGUUUCAAGAAUGGUACCAUUAUUUAGAAAAUGCUUUUAAUCUAAUUAUUCUUUAUAUCAACCAUAAGAAUCUUAAAUACUUUAUAUCAGCACGUAUUUUAAAUCAUUGCCAAGCCUAUUAGAGCAUGUCUUUAUCAAGAUUUGAUUUUAAGAUCACUUAUUGAUCCAAAAAAUAAUAAGAUUUGUCAAACGCCCUUUCUAGACGUUCUUAUUUUAGAUCAAAAGAAUGAGACACAUCUUUUAAUCAAUAAAAAUUGAUUCUCUUGAAGGCAGAUCAUUUUCAUCUUUUAACAAUAAAAUCAACAUUGACUAUUGAUUCAACUCUUAUCAAGCAAAUUCAAUCAAGUAUGUCCUUUGAUCCUCUUGUUUAUGAUAUUAAAAAUCUUUCUUUUAAGUCUCAUGAUGCUUCUAAGUUUAAAUUUAAAAAUAACUUACUCUAUAUUGAUGGAUAUCUAUACAUUCCAAAAAGAGAAGCACAUUUAUAUGUUCUUCAAGUACGUCAUGACUUUCCAAUGGUUGAAUAUUUUAGAUAUAACAUGACUUUAGAACUUAUAUUUAGAGAUUUUUAGUGGCCACAGAUAUGGCAGAAAAUGAAAGACUUUGUUCAAUCAUGUGACAUUUGUUCAAGGUCAAAAAUUCUUUAUCAUUGACCUUAUAGACUUCUCCAAUUAUUAUCCAUUCUAGAACAACCAUGGUCUUUUGUUUCUAUAGAUUUUAUCAUGGAUCUUUUAGACUCAGGUUUUUAUAACUCUAUAUUUGUGAUAUUAGAUUUUUUUACCAAAAUAGUACAUUUUAUACCAUAUACAAAAUCCAUCACAAGUGAAAAAAUAACCAAGUUUUUUUUUGACAACAUCUAUCACUAUCAUGAAUUACCUAAAGAUAUUAUAACGAACAGGGGAACUAAAUUUGUAUCAAAAUUUUAGAGAACACUUUUUAAGAUUUUAAAAGUGGACAUAAAACUAUCUUUAGCUUUCUAUCUUUAAAUUGAUAGAUAAACAAAGUAUGUAAAUCAAAUUUUGGAGCAGUACUUGAAGUAUACUAUCAACUACCAACAAGAUGAUUGGACAACUUUUUUGCCAUUGAUAGAGUUUGCUUACAAUUAUAUAGUAUAUUUUUCUACAUAACAAAUAUCUUUUUUUUAAUUAUAGUUAUCAUCCAUAACUUGAUGCUUUUGACUUUUGAAAAGUUGAUAAUUUUAUAGCAGAAGAUUUGAUAAAUUAUUUAUCUGAGUUAUAUACAAUAAUAAAAGCAUGAGUAAAAGAGACUUAAGAACAAAAAAAAAAGAGCAACAUGGAUGCUUAUUAUAAAGAAUAAUCUUAUUUCUAUGUUGGUGAUAAGGUAUGAUUACUUUAUUGUAAUAUUAAAACUAUUUGUCCUUAUAACAAGUUGGAUUUUCAUAGACUUUGACCAUUUUUAUUUGUAAAUAAGUCAAUCCAAUUGCUUAUCAAUUAUAUCUAUCAAAGUCUAUGAAAAUCCAUCUUGUAUUUCAUGUAUCUCUUUUAAAGCCAUUUAAGAUAGUAAAUAUCUUGAGAAGAAGAUAAAUACCACCAAAUUCUAUAGAAAUAAAUAAUAAUCAAGAAUUUGAGAUAGAAAAAGUCUUAGAUUAAAGGCAACACCAACAUAGGUUAUAAUAUCUUAUUUAUUGGGCCGGAUACAAUAUUAAAAAAUGUAUAUAGGAGCCAAUAAAAAAUCUUACAAAUGCAACAAAGAAGGUCAAAGCUUUUUAUCAAUAACAUCCAUUAAAACUAAGAUAAAGGAUAGCAAACCUUUAUUAUAAAAGAAACACAAUUUAGGAAAAAUUGCAUUCUACCUUCUAACUUUGUUUGUAGUUUCUAUAUAAUUGUGGUGUUAAAAAGAUAAAAAAUCAACAGUUAGAAAAUUCAACUCAAAAGCCAUCUUUUGUUGACUUAUUGGAUGAGAUAUUAUAAUUAUUAUAACCUUCAAGAUGACAUAAUAGAGAUGAAGACCUUAAAUCAUUCAUAUGAAUAGGUAGAAGUAAGUAAAAAUAGAUUAUUUUUAUAAUAUCUUCUGAAUAAGCUUUCUAAAAGCUUUCUAGAUGUUAUUUUGAUUUUAUUUGUAUUUGUAGUUGAUUGAUAGGUUAAAAACUUAGUCAAUAAAUUAACCAUAUAUCACAUGUGUUGGUAGCUUAUAGAAGAAGUUAACUAUAUGGUGCCUAUAUAAAAAACUUGCUUUGUAAGUUAAGAUACAUGUCAUGCAAAGUCAACACGUUUUUAGAUAUUGUAUAGAAUAUUGCCACAUAUAUCAUAGGUAGAUAGUAUAUAUAGAAGCAAGAAUGAAGCCUUCUUUAUUCUUCUCAAUUCCUUUCUUGUUUUUAGUGUAGUUUCAAGAAUCUCGAGUUUCCUUGUCUUUUAGCAAUAGCCAUUCUAAUUUUUUUUUUAAUAUACAUACUUCUCUAUUUCUAUUUUUUCAUAUUUCUUUGAACAAAUCUCACUUGUUUAUUUGUUUUCAUUGAGUUCUUGUCAUUGACAAUGCAACAAUGAAGGCAUUAUUAAAAAAAAAACUCAAGAACAAAAAAAGAACAAUGUAGAUGCCUAUUACAAAGACCAACCACAAUUCAACAUAGAUUAUAAAGGUAUGACUAUUUUAUUACAAUAUUAAGACUACUUAUGCUUAUGACAAAUUAAAAUAUUAUAAGCUUGAAUCUUUUUUUAUUAAUAAAUAAAUCAAUCCUAUUGCUUAUCUAUUCUAUCUAUUGGAUUCUAUGAAGAUCCAUCUUGUAUUCAUCGUAUCUCUUUUUGAGCCACAUAAGAUAGUAAAUAUCUCAAAAAGAAGACAAAUGCCACAUCUUCCUAUAAAAAUAGAUAGUAAUCAAGAAUUUGAGGUAGAAAAAGUCUUAGAUUCAAGGCAUCACCAAAAUAGAUUAGAAUAUCUUAUUCAUUGGCAUGGAUAUGAUAUUAAUAAAUAUACAUAGAAGCGAGCAAAGAAUCUUGCAAAUGCAACAUAAAAGUUUGAAGUUUUUUUAUUGAAAAAAUCUAUCAAAAUAAAGAUAAAAAUAAUAAAUCUUUGUUAUAAAAAAAUAAAACCUAAAGAAGAUAGCAUUCUACUUUUUACUCUUAUUUAUAAUUUUUGUGAUACUAAAGACAUGAACCAAUAAUUAGUAGAUUCAACUUAAGAACUAUGACUUGCUGACUCAUCAGAUGAGACAUUACAAUUGUAAUAGCCUUUAAGACGACAUAAUCAAGAUGAAGAUCCUCAAAAAUGACAUGUCUUUCUUUGAAUAGAUGGCAAGAUAUAAUAUGUUAGGUAUUAUGGUCUUGGAAGAAACUCUUGAUGUUUGGUAAUUUUAUUAAAAAUAAAAAUAACUUUUAACAGUAUUCCAAAUGUUUUAUUUGAAGGGAGUUAUGAAGGCUUUGAAAAUGAUCAAAUAAUAAGAUAGUCUUUCUACCUUGGUAUGGGAUACUAUUGGUGGCUAAGAGGACCUAUCAACCAUCUUCAAAGAAAACAAAGAUCAAAGUAUGUGGCAAAUGUAAUUUACCACAUCUUAAAUUUUUUUAAUAUAUGAUGAUUGCUCUUUAUAGAAUUCAUUCCUAGAAAGGGAGAUAAUAUCAUGGACAUACAUAUUUAUUCUAAUAUUAAUUUAUGUCAUUUAGAAGAAAUAAGUAAAAAUAGAUUUAUUUCAUAAUAUUUUUUAGAAAAGCUUCCUAGAAGCUUUAUAGAAGUUUUUUUGACUUUACAUAUAUUUAUAGUUUUUUGAUAGGUUAGAAACUUAGUCAAUAAGUUAAUCAUGUAUUGAUAGCUUGUAAAAUAAGCUGGUUAUAUUGUGUACAUAUAGAAAAUUUAUCUUUCAAGGUAAGAUAUGUGUCUUACAAAAUCAUCAUGUUUUAGAGGUCCUACAAGAUAUGGCCACAUAGAUUCUAGUUAAGAGUAUAUAUAGAUGUAAGAAUAAAGAAUUUUUUUUUAUUCUUUUCAAUGCCUUUUUAGUCCACACUCUUAUUUUAAGACUUUUUAGUCUUUUUGUCUUUGGCAAUAGCUAUUCUAACUUCAUGCUAUAUCAUCUUUAAAUGAUUUUUUAGUCUAUUUGGAUGACAUAAUAGUAUAUUGAUAUUUUAAUUCUUUAAGAUUUAUGUCCUUGAUAUUUAUAAAAUACUAGUUUAUGCAUCGAAUUAAAUUACUUUGAUACAUUUUUAAAAAUGUACUACCAUUGGGUGAUAUUCAAAUACAAGUUUUGGAAUCUUAUUAAUAUAUUGAUCAAUUCUUUGGUCUCUCAACAUAUGUCGAUGUUAUGAUUUUAGAUUGUUGUUUGAUUUGGACCAACCUAGUAUUGUCUCACAUACUUAUAAAAAUAUUUUUUAGAGUUCAACAACCUUUUAGAUGCUAUAUUAAUGUUAUGUUGAAUGCUAAUCAAUUUUUUUUUAUUAUUACUAAGAUUAAUGAACCUCUUCUUACUUUGAUUAAUAAGAUAGAUGAAUCUUGUAGUAUAUUUCAUAUAUUUGUAACAUUUUUAGCAUCCUUUGUAUUUUGAGCAUGCAAAUUUAGUAUAGUUUAGAAUUUCAAUUUACAAACCUAUGAAGAAUCCAAUUCUAAUGAAAGAAAGUAUACCAUAGGCUUUUUAAUUGGCAUCAAAACUACUUAUGAUCUUAUUAAAAGAUAAUUUUGUUUUUUCUUAGAUUAGGUUAUGGACUCCAAUACUUUAAUAUGGAUUUUUGGCAUAUACUUUAUUAUUCAAAAGUAUUUUAAUAAUCAUAUUAGUACUUUGAAGUUAGAAAACAAUGGCCAAAGAGCUGUUGAUUUUGAACCUAAAUUAACCUAUCUUACGGAUUUUGUAGCUCAAUCCUACCUUCAACUUAAUUCUAGUAUCAACCAUAUUAAUUAUUUAUCUCUUCUAUCCUAUUUUUAUUAAUUUAUGGAUUUUUUAAGGUACUAAAAGAUAUUCUAUAGUCUAGAAGGUAAAAUUAUUAACAAAUCUUUAAUCUAUUAGCUAUCAAGAUAAGAAAAUAAAUUAAGAAGCUUUAAUAAAAGCCACAUUUAAAUUUCUUAAAUUAUUAUUGAACCAAGAUGAUUAAAUAUUAAUUAGAAAUUUAUUUUUUAUUAUAUUUUUAUCAUAUAAUUGAAUACCAAUACGACAAAAUUAUUGCUAAUCCUUUAACUAUAUUCUAAGGUAAAGAUCAACCAUAGACUUGAGGUCAUGAGCAAUAACAUGCAUUGGACAUAUUAAAGCAAAAGUUGGAUUCAAUUCCAAUGCUUCAAUGUUUAGAUGCCAAUAGACCUUUCCAACUAUACACAAAUUAGAAUGUAGUAGGAUUGGAAGUUGUCUUGAUAGAAAAAGAUGAUACAAGAUAGAAAUUUAUUAUUUCAUUAGCUUCUAGAAGUAAAAAUAAUGUAGAGUCAAAUUAAUGGUCUUAUAUAAGAAAAGCUUUGGCAGCAAUUUGGACCAUUACUCACUUCUCACCUUAUUUGUGUAGUCAACUCUUUAUGUUGGUAAGUAACCAUCAACCUUAGAAGUAGCUUAUGGAAUCAAACAAGAUUACUAGCAAGCUUAUAAGAUGGACUUUGUUGCUUCAAGAAUAUAACUUUGAAAUUGUGCAUCAAGCAAGUAUUACCAAUUUUUAUGUUGAUGGACUUUUUUGUAAUCUAUGUCCUUCAAAAGAAGACUUAAUUGAAGCUCAUUUGCAUGGAAAUUGUGAUCAAGAGAUAGUCUUUGGAUGUCAUUGUUGUAUUGUAUGGUUUUCUAUCUGAGAAUAUACUCGAUACUUAAUUGUAGAGAGUUUAGUUUUAAAUUAUUGGCCAAACUCCAAUAAGUUAUUUAACCUUUAAAGUAGAAGACAAAUAAAUACUACAAUAUCAAAAAGAUAUCAUACUAAUGAAACCUUUUAUAUUUAAGAAGGUUUAUACAUAAGGCUUUCUAAAAUAUCUAUAAAUUUCCUAAUAUUCUAGAUUAUACCAAAUCAUAACUAAUCAUUUGCUAGUAAGUUAGAUUUUCAAUAAUUCCAAAGAAAGUCCAAAAUUUCUUUUCAAAAAUUAAUCUUUAUAUUAAAAUUUUAAAAAUAGCUCCAUAUAUCCAUCUUCAAUAAAUAUAUAAAGUCUUGAAUUCAAAAAAAAAUCCCUUUAUUUUGUAUAAAAUGCUCAAAUUGUAAUAAAAUUCCUUCAAAAUAUAUUUUUCUUGCAAGGCAUUUUUUAUUCUUGAACUUUAGAAAUUCAUAUCUCUUGAUCCAAAUUUUCAGGUUUUAUCAAAUUUAAAAAUAAUAUAAAAUUUAUCUUUAAGCAUUACUACAAAAAAAUUCAAUCAUAAAUUUACUACUGAUCGUUUGGCAUCUUAAAAACCUUAGUAGGUGCUUCAAACCCUAAUUCACAAGCACCCAAGUACUAUUUUCUUCAUAUCUCACAAAUCCAAAAUCUAAAUACUACAAAACUUUUUUAUGAAGUUUAAUAACAUAAAAAUACACAUUCUUAAAAAAAUUUAAUCAAAAUCUUAUCAAAUUGUACAAGAUAUAGCUCAAAACACAACUACUAGCAAUUUGGGUCACUUAUUAUUUCUUAGUUUUCAAGCAUUGACUUCAACUUCUAAUAUCUCCUUCAUACUAAUUUAGAAUUUAUCAUUCAAUAUCUAUAAAGUUUAGUUAAGAAAGUAUUUUUUCCAACCUUAGUGGCCAAUCUUUUAUUGCUUUCAGUAUGCAUGCAUUAUAUCCAAAAGAGUGAUAGUAGGUACAAAACCAAUACCUUGAUUUUGAGUCCCCAUAUUGCCUUUAUAAAAACUCCAAAUGACUCAAAAUUUGUACCAAAACCAUAGCCAAAAAUCUGAGCUUGUCGAUCCUAGCCUUUGAUGUUUAAAUGCCCUCUCAAAAGACUAACCCUAAUUCCUAAUAUGGCCUUGGACAGCCUCCUUGAAGUCCAUUGGUCAUGAUUUUUGACCAAUAGGAAUGGAGAUUUAUAUCAUAUAUCUCCAUUCAUUCAUAUAAGUAUUCUAACUACCUUUUUUGCUACCAAAACCUCUCUUCAAUCCCUUUCCAUAUAAGAUUUAUAUAUUAUAUGCCUUAAACAUCAAAUAAAAGAACCAAAAUAAAACUUCAAAAGCCACCAAUAUCUAGCAAAGAUGACUCUAAAUGUUUAAAAUUUACUACUAAUAAGAUCAACUUCAAAAGUCACUAUCAAAAAAAAAAGUUAUAUAAAUUCUAAUAGAAGUCAUUUUAAACAACAUCUUUUUGAGGUAGUAAUCUAUCUACAUCCUAUAACUAAUAAAAAUCUACUAACAUGGCUCUCAUCAAGUUCUCUAGUAUAUCGUAUAUUAAAUAUAUAAACACACUAUUUUCACAUAGUAGCCAAACCACAAUAUGACAUCCACCCCUUCCAAACAUGUACAUCCUCCAAUGUGCACCAAGAAGAAUUAAAGUUGUAGUUGGGGUCAUACCACUUUUUCAACAUUGUCUUUUUCAUGAUCCAUGUCUUCUUCUUCUCCUUCAUUUGUAAAGAAUCUAUGUAUUCUCUAAUAUCUUCAUGAAAUUCUUGUUGCCUUAAUCAACACUGCUUAUUAAUUUUGUCCUUAUUUUUUUAGCAUAUUUCUUUAUAAAAAUCUUUUAAACUUGUUACUAUAUAUAUACUUACUAUCUUAUCAUCUUUAUCAAGCAAACCUACUCUUUUUAGAUCUUUUUCCAAAUUUUUACACACUCUUUUGCUCCCAUUUUUGUAAGCCAUUAGGUUGUAUAUGUACAGCAAAUUCAUUUCUAGAUAAUUUUACAACACUUGUAUAAAAGAUACUUUUUUAUCCAUGCAAGAAUACCUUCUUUGAUGUACUACUAAAUUCCCAUUCUAUAUUAGUACUUUGCAAUAAUCUUUAAAUUCUUCAUUGAUCCUUGAUAAUAAACUAUUCUGAAGAUAAUCCUGAUUGCGUUCAUAGUUAGCAAGUAUAGUUAAGAACUAUACUGCUCUCUUGCCAUCCAAGCUUUUGAUACGGGCACAUGCCAAUCCAUCAUUUAACACCUUAGUUUCUAUUUUCACAAUUGUAAUAUAUGGUUUUUUAAGAAUUAUUGGAUAUGAAGUAGUGUCUUGAAUAAAGAAAUUUUGUUUAGUAGUUACAUCUCUAAUUUUCACUUUUAUAUUAGGACAAGCACCAUAGAGGUCUCUUCGUGAAUUAUUUGCUGUCCAAAUCAUCCAACUAUGUUCAAUGACAAUAUGCCACCUUUCGCAUUUGUAAAUUUCUUUUGACAUAGUAUUAAUUUCAUAUCUAUGAUCAAUAAGAGCAAUUACUGGAUCUAUCAAGUCCUUCAUCUUCACCAAGGUUUCUAUGGUGGCUCUAGCCCAAUAAUCCCUAAUAUAGUAAAUAGGGCCUUUGUUAUCAAUCUUCUCUUCAUCCAAAGAAAAUUGAAGCUUUUUAUUGAUACAACAUUCAACCAACUGAACUUCUUCUUCUUCCUUCAAUAUUGUAUCUAAGGCAUUAGAUAUUAUAAAUUCCUCUAUCAAUUUCUUUUUUCAUUUAAUAAUGUCAAUAAUGACAUCAUGAAAUUCUUUCUUUGUAAUGCCUAAAAUUUCUCGCAAAUUAAAUUCAAUUUUGGUAUUCAACACCCUUUCUUCUAGCACUCCUUUUAAAUAUGUAGUUACUUCAAUGUUUCAUUAUAACUUGUAAGAAACAAGCUUAUUCUUUUCUUUAUAUUUAUCAGCUUCCAUUCUUUUUUUUCAUUUUUUCUUUGAUAGUAGUGCAUUCUAAGGGUGUGAUGUUGAUGGUCUAAUUUUUGAUGGUCUACUAUCCUAUAAUAUAAGUAUUUUCUUAUUUUGUUUUUUUUUUUUUUUUCAUUCUUGUGAGACCUUCUUUUGUUAUUUGGCUCCUCAUGAUUUUCAUCUAUUAUACUUCUAUUUCUUUUUACAUCCACCAAAGCUUCAUAUUGGAAUUUAGCCAAAUAAGCAUGUACAAAUAUGACAUCAAUAGAAUCAUCCUAUCUUGUAGCAUUCUUGAUCACUGUAGCUUUUUUGAGCAAUUCUUCUCUUAUUGUUUUUUUCUUAUCUAUGUUGAUAAUAGCAUGAUUCUAUAGAUCUCUUGUAUCUACAUACUUGUCAAAAAUAUUCUCUUUCUGUCUUAUAAUCUCAAUAUUAUAGGUAGUAGCCUCUUUUGAUGCCAUAGUUUGUUGAAAUAAAUGUUCUUCCAAAACCUUCUUCAUCUAUCCCUUUCCAAAAUUGAUUUUGAAAAACUCAUCUAUAUCUCGCAAUGCAAUUUUUCCAUCUUUCCAUAAAAUUAUUCUUUGUUGCAAAAUAUCAGCAAAAUCUCAACAUUUCUUAUGAAGAUGCUCAAUACUAUCAUACCAAAUACAUCUCUAUAUAUAUAUAUCCUUACUUUGAUGCAAGUUUGAUCUCAAAUAUUCCUCCUUUCUCCUCUAGCUUUGCCAAUUUGAUUUAUAAGACUUUCAUUCCUUUCACUAACUCUUCAAUUGCAUCUUUUUUUUGUACAAUUAUAGACAUAGGAUUUGGAACAUCGGAUAUGAGUAUAGCGGGUUUUGGUAGUUGCUUACAAGAUAUUAUAAUUAAUGGAGGUUUAGUUUCUUGCCUUAUCACUACCUUACUUCUUUGAUAUUCUCUUUUAGCAAGUAUACCUACUGCUUCAAAUACCUUCUUCUAGUCACUUGUGAGUCUAUUAUCUUUUGUAAUAUCUUCCAACAAUAAUUCCAAUUCUAUUUGUAAUUCAUUGUUGACCGAUUGAAGGAAUAGCUCUACCUUAUCAUUUUUAAGAGUAAGUUUUUUCACUCGAGAUAAUUGAAGAAAUUGUCUUUUAAAUUCCCAAAAUAACUCUAUUACAACUAAUUUCUUAUUGGAUUUAUUAAUCUACUCCAUGAAUGAUUUUUUUGUUAUCCUUUCAACAUCCUCUAAAGAAUAUUCUUCUUAUAGGUGAGGAAUAAAAUCCUUCCAUUUUUUUCCAUGAUUUUAAAUAAUCUCUUAUAUAUGCUCUCAUAACUCCAGUACAACUACAAGCUUAAAUAUUAAGAUCAUUUCUUUUUUUGGUAUUUUAUUAAGUUUUAUCUUUGAAGAAUAAUAUUUCAAAUACUUUGAGAUAUUUCUUUCAUUAAACUGAUCCAAUAAACUAAAAACAGAUUGUAAGGCUUUAGUAGCCAUUACCUCCUUAUGAUCCACUAUUUGUUGUUACUACAUAUAAAAAGUAAAUACUUGAAACUUUUGAGCUAUAGCAGAAUCAAGCUGCAAUGGUGAUGUUCCAUUGUAGUUUCUACUACCACUUCUUUAUUUUCUAGCCAUAAUAAAAUCAAAAUAUUUCUUCAAAACUCUCUAUCCCAAUUAUUUCAAGUCCAGUUUACUAGCUGUCAUAUAGCAUGAUUUGCAAUUUGAGAAUACACUAGAUACCUAGCUAUAGAGAGUUUAGCUUUGGCUUAUAUAUGAUGUCAUAGCUCCCAAAAAUUCCUUUAUCUUAGACAAAAGCUCAAAUUAUAAUAAAAUCCUUCAAAAUAGUUUCUUUUCGCAAAGUAUGUUUUUACCAUAAACUUUGGAAAUUCAUAUCUCUUGAUCCAAUCGUCUAGUUUUUUUCAAAUUUUUAUUCAACAUAGAUUCUAUCCUUAAUCUUUACUAUAAAAAAAUGAACUAUAAAUCUAUUACCAAUCUUUUGGCAUCUUUGAAACCCUAGAAAGUACUCUAAAUCCUAAUCUAUAAGCAUCCAAAAACUAUUUUUCUUAUAUCUAAAAAUCCAAAAUCCAAAUGCUAUAAAAUUUUUACCAAAAUUUCAUUAACAUAAUUACACACAUUCUAAAAAAAAUUAGCCAACAUCUUAUCAAAUUACACAAGAUAUAGCUCAAAACACAACUACUAGUAAAUCAGAUUACUUACUAUCCUUAGAUUUGAAGUGUUGGCUUCAACUUCUAGUAUCUCCUUUAUUCCAACUUAGAAUCCAUCAAAAAAUAUGCUUAAAUUAUAGCCACAAAAAAUUUCUCUCCAAUCUUAGUUUCCGAUCCUUUAUUGCUUUUUGUAUGGAUGCAUUAUACUCAAAAAAGUGACAAUAGAUAUAAAAACCAACACCUUGACUUUGAGCGCCUAUAUCUCUUUCAUAAAAACUCCAAAUGAUUCAAAAUUUGUACCAAAACCAUAGCCAAAAGCCUGAACUUGCCAAUUUUAGCCUUAGAAGUUCGAAUGUCCUCCCAAAAGAUUAACCCAAUCCCUAAUAUGGCCUUAGGCAGCCUCCUUGAAGCCCAUUGGUCAUGAUUUUUGACCAAUAGGAAUAGAGAUUUAUAUCAUCUAUCUCCAUUCAUUCAUAUGGAUGCCCUAACUACUUUUUUUGCUACCAAAAUCCCUCUUCAAUCUCCUUCCAUAUAAGAUUUAUAUAUUAUAUGUCUUAAAUAUCAACUAAAAGAAUCAAAAUAAAACUUCAAGGACCACCAAUGUCUAACAAAGGCAACUCUAAAUGUAUAAAGUUACUACCAAUAAAACCAACUUCAAAAGUCACUAUCAAAAGAAAAUAAAGUUAUACAAAUUCUAAUAGUUAUCCUAAAUAACUUCCUUUUAAAAUAAUAAUUUAACCACACUCUACAACCAACUAAAAUCCAGUAACAUAGCUCUCAUCAUAUUGCUAAAUAAAUUAUACAUUAAAUAUAUAAACACAUUAUUUUCACAUGGUAGCCAAACCACAACAUGAAAAUGUGGAGCUACAUACUUGUUUUUAAUAUCAGGUUCUACAACCAUAGUUCUUGAUUAGAAUUUAGAUGAGAAAUUGGAUAAGAAUCAAAUAAUUAAUAAUAAAUGGAAAUAUCUUAUAGUCUUGUACAAGUUUCAACAAUGAACAUUAUUUUUAGCUAUCUUUGAUUUAAAAAGAGAUAAGAUUAAUCAUUGAAUAAUAAGAUUUUUUUAGGAAAAUAAUUUAUUAUUUUGUGUGUGGUUUGAUAAAAUUAGAUACAUAGUUCCUAAGCUAAAUCAAAGAACAUCCUUAAUAUACCAAAUACAUGAAGAAAUUUGAGAUUUUAAAGUGUGUAAGAUGUAUUUUAUGUUGUAUAAUCAAUAUUGGUGGAGUGAUAUAUAUCAACAAGUAACCACAUAUUUUUCUUAGUAUGAAGUAUGUAAUUAAGUUGAAUCAAGCUUUAGCACCUUAUCAUCUUAAUUGAAGUUGUUACAUAUUAUGAAUUUAUGUUAUCAUUGGUCUUUGGACUUUGUUGGAACACUUGUUGUUAUCCCACGUGGAACUAAGUAUAUGUUAGUGAUGAUAAAAAUAUUUUAGCAAGUAGAUUGAACUUGUGGCUUUACCACAAAAUUAUUUAGAAUUGACAACUAUAGUUUUUUUUUUUAUCAAAUAUUAGCACGUUUUGGAAUCCCUAUUGAAAUUUCAAUUAUUCAAAGAAGAGAGUUUUUUAGAAGUUUUGAAGCUUUAUGUACUAAAGCUUUGAUAAAUCAUCAUAUCAUGUCUAAAAAUCAUCUUAAAAUAGAUAGCUUAGUUGAGCAAGUUAAUUAGACUAUUAAACAUGGAUUAUGAAAGUAUGGAUUACUUCAUGGCAACCAUCGUGAUUGGAACUUUAUGUUGCUAUGAAUUGUGAUAGGUUAUUGCUUCAAUACACAAUCAUCUUUGACAUCUUAUAAUUCUUAUUAAUUAUUGUAUGGAUAGAAGCCAAUUCUACCUAGCUCAAUACAUGAAAAGAUAGUUCUAUUUAUAGUCCUAGAUGAUCUUGAUGUUUGAAUUUAAUGUCUAUAUAAUUGAACAAAGUUUUUUAAAUAAGCUAUGCCUAUAGCUAUGGAGAAUUUAUCUAUUGCUCAUCAUUGUCAUACUUUACGAUAUACUUGCAUUUGUAGUAGAGCUUAUCAACUCUAAUUGUAAAGAUUUUUAAAAAAAAUUAUGUGUAUUUGUAACGUGAGGUAUCUAUAACACUUGAUAUUAAAGCAAGGUGUAUAAUUUUAUGUAUAAAGAAUAUAUUGCUUAAUAGUAUUUUAUUAUUAGAAGGCAAAAAUAGUCAAGAAUGUCAAGAGCUUUCAAAGAAUUAUGUUGUUUAUUAUUUUCCUAUCGAUGACUCUAUAUAUCCUGAAUUUACAGUUGUAUCAAUUGAUCUUCCUUGUUUAGUAUGUGGUGAGAAGAAAAGGAUUGCUACCAUGCUUUUGUAUGAUCAAUGCCAAUAUUAGUGGCAUAUAGCAUGUUUGACACCACUUCUUUCGAUUCUUCCAUCAAGAGAUUGGAUUUGUCCUUGUUAUAAGUCUUUUAGCUAUGUCUCAUCUCUUGAUAAGGAUUAAAGAUUUCUUCUAUUGUAUGUGUCAUGCACAUCAAUGGUCUAGUUGCUACAACACUAGUUUAGAGGAGUACAAUUUGGUUAUCACAUCAUUGUGACGUUCAUCUUUAAUGAUGUAUGUUUUGUAGUCUUAGUUGACUAAAAGAGCUCCUAAUCAACUGAAAGGGCACUUAAGAGUGUAUUAGAUGUAUCUUUGUAUUUGGUUUAAAUUACAUAUUACAUGAUUGGUUUGUACUACUCAAUGUGUUGUAUGUGGUAGUAUUUGUUUACAUAAUAAGGAAAAUCUAAUACAUUAUAUUUAAAAUAUAUUAAUUUAUUUUACUUAUUUUUUUUUAAAUUAAUAUAAAAUUAUAUUUUAUUUUUAUCAAUAAUUAAGUUAUUAUUUGCAAAGUUUAUGUGUUCUUUACUUAUUAGAAGAUGUAAUAUUAAAAUUAUUUUAUAAUAUAUAUAAAUGAAUAAUAUUAAUGUAAUGAUAGCUAAUAAAAAUAUGUCGUCUUUUAAAUAUAAAUUAUUAAUAAUCACUAAUAUUUGAAAUUACUUACAUUUUUAAUUUAUAAAACCAAUUAUUACUAUUAAUCAUAGAAAUAACUAUAAUAGUAAUUAUAAUAAAUUAUAAUCAUAAAUUAAUUUUAUUAUAAAAAUAUAAUUUUAUUUUAAUUAUAAUAUAUUUUUAAAUAAAAUAUUUAUUUAUAAUACAAUAUAAUAUAAAUUUUUAUUUUUAUUUUAUUUUAAGAAAAAUAGAUUUUUAAAUGCCUAUAAGAAGAAAUUAUGAUUAUUUAGAUAAAAAUAUAUAUUAUUAUUAUUUAGAUAAAAAUAAAAUAUGUAGCUUUAAAUUAAAUUAUUUAUGUUAGUGAAAAUCACAUUAUAUAAAAAAUUUAAGUCGUAUUUUUAAUAUAAAUAUUCUAUUUAAGCUUUAAAAUAUUUUAAUAAAAUUCUAGCUUGAAUUAUUAUAUUUGUAGCAUAUCUUCAAAUUAGAGCAUAUUUUAAAAAUACUUAAUGUAUUUCUAUAAGAUAUUAAUGCUUUAGUUUUUACUUUGAUUUUUUUCUAAUUUAGAUUCUCAAAAACAAUCUUAUAACAAUAAAGUCUAUAAAGAGAUAUUUUAUUGUUUAAUAUUUUAUCAUUUCAAUAUUUUAAUAUAAAAAUAAAUUUAAAAUAUUUUAAAAACUAUAUUUACGAAAAAAUUCAUCUCAAUUUUUUAUUAUAAUAUAUAUGACUAUCUACAUUAUUUGGUGGAAAUUCCUCUUUACCUUAAUCUUUCAAAAGUUUGUAAAAAAAAUACAUAUAUAAAAUUUAAAAAAUAUAUUUCAUUAAUUUUAUUGAUAGCCUUUACUAUAUAUAUAUAUAUAUAUAUAUAUAUGCAUGCCCAUACAUGCACAUUAAUAUUCAAAUGUAUUUUUUUAAUUAUAAUUAAAAUAAAAGAUCUAAAAUAAAAUAAUUAAGUUCUUUAACAUGAGCUUGUUUAUAUUAAUUGUUCAUACUAUCACUUUACAAAAUUCUUAUAUUAAAUACUUUGAUUUAUUUUUUUAUUACAUUUCUGAGCCUAAAAAUUGAAUGGAUCCACCUAAUAAGCAAUCUUAAAUAACAGUAUUUGUUGGUCAUUAGACAAAAUAUCACAUUAUAUAUAAACUUUACUUAUUCCGUGUAGCCAGUUGCAAAUUUUCAUUCUGCACAAACAAAACUCUUGAAGCAUCCCUCUAGGGCUCCAUUUGCCCUUCACACUUCACAUAUCCAUAUUUAUUUCAAGAUUUAAUAUGGUUUUUUCUUUCAAAAAUAUAUAGAGUUGGUAAUCAUUUUGGAAAAAAAUAAAAAUAAAAACAAAAACUCUUGUUUAUCCAUUGUACAUCAAUCAUCCAUUUUAAUUCAACUCCGUCAAAAGUUAUUCGUAACUUAUACAAGUUGAAAAAUUUGCCAAAUGCUGGCUUCUGCACUUCGAAGAGCUCAAUAAGUGACCCACGCUUGCCAUUUUUACUUGCAGUAGAAACGACCGUCAAACUUCAAUCACCUUUAUUAGUGCAUAUAUAUAUAUAUAUAAGACUGUGUGUGCGUAUAUUUUCACAUGCACAUAUCAAAAAAUAAAACAAAGAAAACAGACAAGUUUGCCAAAUCUGGAAUGAGCAUCACCCACUCCCACAUUCAAGCUUCUAGUCUGAGAUGCGCACGAACAUCGACACAAACUGGAGGGUGGUGGAGAAGUCGAGAAGGAGCGGGGAAAAACAAAACAAAACAAAAAAACGAAGUGAACGGCGUGGGAUGAAGCUGGCAUGCGAAGAGAAUAGAGACGAGAAGAGACGAGAAGAGAAAUAGUAGUAGUUGGAUGUUGUUGUAAUAUUGCAAGGCUGGAGUGACGCUUGCUGUGAGUGCAAGAUGAAUCCGAAGGCUGGAGGUAGUGGUGGUGGUGGUGAUGACGAUAAUGAGAAAGGAAGGAGGCAAGAGAGAUAAUGUGCUUGAGGGCUAUUUGGGGCCAGAUGCUGGUUGAUGCUACUUCAACUGCUGUUGCUGCCUGCGGCGGGUCAAGGAAAAAUGUGGUGAGGAUGGCCCUAAAAGCUCCGCUCCGCACAGUAGGCUGAGAAAGACACUGCAGCAGCAGCCCAGAGCUGCUGGCCCCACUGUAAUGCUCUUUCAGGGCGCCCCGGAUUAUCAGACCGACCAUUGCAGUUCCGAAGGCGGCGCUCGGGCCAUUCCUCUGCACACUCUACAGAGCAGCUAUGUUUAGAGAGGGGUCUGAAUUCCAGACAUGUGAUUUGUUUAUGGUUUUCCAUUUCCCUCUUUCUAGCUCGGAUGAUGCGCCUUUCGCUUCAUGGUGAAUUCCUGAGCUCGCAAACCAGGGCCUGCGAGGAGGCGGCAGGUAAAACGCUCUGUUGCCUCUGCAACCCUCGUUAUUGUUGCACUCUGGGCGGCUCCCACUAACUAAUUGUUUAUUUGUUUAUUUUUGUUCUUGACAGAAAGUGGAUGCAUUGAUUAGUGUGAGUAGUACCAACAACUGCUUUCUGUGCCUACAUCACCUCAAUUGUAGGGCAUGGAUUGAAAGAAUACCAUUUCAGCCUAUCUACUGUAUGUGUGUAAGUUGUUAUUUUGAUUCUUCUAAAGUAAAGAGUCAUAUUUUUGUUUUUUGUUGUAGAACUCUGUAAUUUUGAUUGAUUUUUUUAUAUUCACUUUUAACCCAGUACUACUCUAAAACGAUUGAGAUCUAUUUAUAUCAUAAUAUUUUAUAAAUAAAGGAAUAAUAAUUUUUAAAAAAAUGUUUGGGAGUAGUUGUGUUGUUUUUCUAUUUUAUCUCAAGUGAUUUCCUUCAACGUUUUUCCGUGCUCAACAAAGUCAAAUUAGUUUUCUGCGGCUUUAUUGUUUUACUAUAUCUAAAUUAUGAGCAUAAGUCUCUGAGUAUUUACUAUAUUUUGUUAAAUUAUUUAAAAUUUGGAGGGAUAUCUUUUGCAAAUGCUGUUUAUUUCACGAAAGAAAAUUUAUAUGGAUUUUUAAAUGUUAGAACUAGUUGAUAAUUUAUAAAUGAUAACAGUGAUUUAAUCCCAGUUUUAUUAAGAUUGUAGAACAUUUCCUAUAUUUGUGCAACAUUGAUUAUGAUUUUUCUAGGGCACAAAGUUUGUAUAAUGUAUAAAUCUCAAUCAAAACAUGUACCAAUCAUGUAUUAAUAACUCCAAAAUGAUAUAUGAGCUAUGUAAAAAUUUCUCCCUUCCUAAACUCUUGGAUUAAUAAACACAUUAUCCUUAGUAAUGUCAAAAUUUAUGCUACCAUUUUUCCAAUUAAAGUCCAAACAAUAUGCAGACUUUGCAAAACCUUCUUCCAUCCAAAUUUGAUACUGUAGGUAAUUAGAUCCAAAUGACUAAUAAUAAACAUUCGGAUCAAAUCGAAGUGCCUCAAUUGUACGCUAAAAUAACACAAGAUCUACUUCAACUUGUUCCCACUGGUUUCGAUGCAGGAUUUGGCUCUUGGUAUGGCAUCUUAUUAUAGAAUCCUCCCAGAAGCGAUCGAUACGUACGCACGACUGUUGACGAAUCUGGAGGUAGUCGAUGGUUGUUAUCUCGGUGGUUGUCUCUACGUGAUCAGUUUGUAAUUUUUCAAAGUAUUGUAUUUAUUUUUCCCCUCUCCCUUUUUCCUUCUCAUUUUUCUUUUACUCACUUUCACUCAGUUACUUUCGUUGUGAAAUGCCUCAAAAAUGCUAGAUAGGAUGAGGCUAUUCUAACGCACAGUUUCCAACGAUUUGAGGUCCAUGUUGUCCGUGAAUACCAAUGAUGAGGCAACCCAGGAUUACCACGAGGGAAUGGGAACUGUUGUGGCACUGAAUUUUCUUCACUUACUGCAGCAAACCUGCGUGCCAGUUCAUAUGUAAAUCUGGGUGUUCGUCACUCAGUGACGAGUGGGCACUAGUGUCCCAGCUCUCGAUUUUGAAUAGUCUAUACCAGCUAUUCCAACAAGUGGAAUGUGUGUACCUGUGCUUCGCAUCAUUCCCUUCCUCUUCACGUGGUCGUCAUAUCAUGUUGAUGCGGCAUGUUCCGUGCACCCACACCAAAAAACCACUGGGAUCGACACAAAAUCUCUGACGUUUCAACACUCCACAUGUUGUGAAAGACAUCCUCAGAAGUUGGGGGAAUAAACGCAUCUCCCACUCCAAGUUGGGAGCGAGAAGCCGUGCAAAACAGGGAUCACUCAACCAGAAAGUCAUCCAAGGCCCAAACGGGAGCCUCGACAUCACCUGGUGCGGCUCCCUAGGAAUCCACAUUCCGCAUCAACACGACAUGAUUCUAAAUCGCCUCGGAGCGUGCAACCGGGAGAGGAAGAAGCAGUCUGGUUUCUGAUACACAAAGCAAAGCAUGGCACCUAGCCGGAUGCCAGAGUGUCGCCUCUGGUGUGUCGGCCUUACAAUAGCUUAAAAAGAUACACGCAUCGAUCAGCUUUCCACGUGAUCGAACAUUUCGCAGUGAGCCAAACCUUCGAUUAUUGCGUGUCUCCCCGGCUUUCCCCCCACUUCCCGCCAGGCGAUGUCCCUUUUCCCCUUCGCCCAUCCAGCCUAAUCUUUUCAUUGCAACUGGUUUCUGUUGGGCCUGGAAUCUUGACAACAGUUUUCAGCUUCUGUUUCUGUUACUUGAUUCAUUCCCUGUGCAGACUUUAUUUGUGUGCAAACCUAGACUAAAGGUGGAGAGAGGUUAAGGUAGAUCAGCGGUUGCAGCUGGUGACUGUUCGGCAGCUGGUCGGCACAGAUUUUGUCAGAUGGGUGGUCCUUGACAAUUCGGGAUGGCACCGAAUAAGGGCGAGAACAUUUGAUGGAGACAUUGUCUCGUGAGCAUCGCUGGUUCCAGGAGGAUCGGCAGAUGGAUCUCAUUUCUAAAGGCUGGUUUGAAAUUUGCGUCGAGCACUCCGCUCACAUUUCAAAGUUAUCCUGGUCCUCAUUCACGUUGUAAACUAAUUUCGAAAUCCUUAUUCUGCGCAUUAUUAUUCCUGUUGCUAAUAAACAGAUGAAAAAUUCUGUCUAAGACUCAUAGAUUUGUAUGUAAUUAUAACGAGCAUAAAGAGAAUGUCAGUAUGGUUAACUUACCUCUACAUGUUUAUAUGUGUAAUUUUUUUUUUGUUUAUUUAUUCUUUUUCUUCAAACAAAAUCAUGAUGUAGAUGUGGUUAUUCUGCGACGGUUUCGUGAAUUCCGGAGGAGAAAAAGAAAAACCUACAUGAUGUAAAGCCUAUGUAACGUGGAUAUCUUCUUCAAAUUUUCAUGAUGGUUUUGGAUUAGUUAUAAAGGGUGCGAUGUAUUACAGCCCAUAAUCACGAAGUCAAAUGGAAACUUUUCUGCAUUCUCUUACAUUUACAAAAAAAAUAAAUAAACAAACAAGUAAACAAAAAAAAUCAUGCGCAUCUAUUGUUGUUAUCGAAGGCAUCGCAACUUUACAAUGCCAAACAAUAAACACAUAAAAGAGUAAACAUAAAAGGACAUGAACAUGAUAGAUAUAUGCUUUUGUUUCUUUAAAUCUUUUCUUUUUUGACUUUUUGUCUUUUUUGACACCAAAUUACUCAACCAAUCCACGAAUAUGCUACAGUUAAUGGCAGAUGACUUGAAACCCCACUUUCAACAUGGCUAUUAAUAUUAUAAAGAGUACAAAACACAUACUUUUUGAAGUAAAUACUUCAGCUAUAUUGUAAGUGUUGGAUACACGUACCAUUUUCUCUAGAUAGUAAAAAGUAAAUGGUCAGUUUAUUCAUAGUUAAAACAAACUCGGCACAAUCAAAAUAUAUUUACAUAUAUCUUCUAUGAUUUCCGAGAUUUUUUUCGAAAAUAAGUCGAAAGAAGAAAAGCGAAGAAAGAGUAGACACACAAGCUCAAUGAUUCAAACUUGGUCGAAAUAUCUUGGACCAUUUGUUAAGAAAACAAAAUAAAAUAAUAUCCUUGGUUUCCAUGUGUUGAUUGAUGCUGCAAGCAUCAUUACCAAAUAUUUGGUAAAUUAGACCGCUUCUCAUCCACGAAAAGCUUGAUGAUGAAUGUCAAGCACGCGCAUCUGCAAUGCUCCGCCAUCUGGAUUUGGAAAUGUUACAAAUAAACUCAAAAUCAAGUCCUAACUCUGCACACUGAUUAGCGGCAGCAAGGGACAGCGCUUGUCAGUGACAUCAGGGCCACCACAACUCAUGCUAUGAUUUCACGAUUACGACGAUGCAGCACCUGUAACUAGGUCAACUCCCCCCCCCCAACGGAGUUACCACGGACAAUGCCAUUACUAUCCUUAUUUGGGUUCGAAGCAAAGUCACAGGUGUGCAGAAUCAUGACUCCAUUGAUAUCCACCCAAAGUCGCUGCAAUCUCCGCCUGGCAGUUUGCCUGCACCUUCUGGGUACCGGUCAUCUCCUGGUCAAUGCCGAAACAUCUUACCGUUAAGUAAAACAUAACUGUAUGAGGAUGGUUUAGAGAUUUUAACAAGGACCUUAUCGGAGGGAGGGGUUAUUACUGAACCGCAAAGGGAAGUUGACAGUCAAAACGCCAGUUGGAACACCAGCAAGAAGCUGCGGAACCCGAUGUGGCAAUGUGGUUAAACUAUGAAUAGCUGAACAAGUAUUAAUAGCUUGAAAUAGUUACGGAUACGGGAGGGUUGUUUCUGGUAAUAAACAAAUAAUACCCCUCAGAAUUGCCAGUGUCCCCAUUCACGCUACCUACACCGAUAGCAUAAGAUUCCUCGCGAAAGGUGGGUUUUUUUCUUAGUGGGAGCAUCUUGUCCAAACUUCCAUUAAAACCACUCCCUCCCUCAUCACCAACCAAUUGCUUUUGAUGUCCCAGUUUCGCUCUUCCUUCAUUCCUUCCCUCCAUCCCUCCUCCUCUCCAUUUGCUCUUUACGUCAGUCCUCCUGCGCAUUUAAGUUGCCAAACACCCCCCCCCCCUUUAUCUAGUUCUUUUGCGCUUGUGCAUGCAGUGUUCUCUAGACUGUUUAUUUUCAAAUUUAGUUUGCGACUGUCGGAAGCAGGGCGCCGAGGCGAUAAUGUGGAGUGUCCGUCUGCAAUAACAGCGUGUGACGAGUUUCACGGGUGGGGAUCAAGUGUGCAUUGAAGGAGAGAGAGAGAGAGAGAGAGAGAGAGUAGUGGUAGUAGUAAGAGUAGCCCAGGAUGAGUCCGCCAACCUCGGUGCGCAGCACUGUCGCCAAGACAGAGAACGAUUUGGCCGAAAAGGUGGCUCUUUCUAUGAAGGACUCAGGGUUUCGGUUUGGGUUGAGGAAGCAGGUGAAUGGCAGUAGUAACCCUUCGUUGAAAGUAAGCAAGGAUUCUCACCGGAUCAGGAAGCCGCCGUCGCCACUCCCGCAGAUACAGUACCGUCCCCCGAUCAUUAUUCAUACGUAUUCGCCAAAGGUGAUCCACACCCAGCCGGAUGACUUCAUGUCGCUUGUCCAGAAACUCACAGGUUCCAGUGAUACCAGGUUGCGAUUUAAGAAGACCUCUAACAAGGAAAACUCUGGCACCCGCAAGGAUCAUAAAUCUUGUGAACCUUGUGGCGGAGUACAGUCCACAGAUUCAGCUAGUCUCGAGCGACAAGGUGUGCACUAGCUCUACUAUCCUUUGUUUGUUUCAUUAAGUGCACGCCAAUUCAGGUCAGUAAGUCUCACUUGGAAGGAAUCGGUUCUAACUGAGGAUUUUGUUGAUCUUGUUGCGAGUUCAGGGUCAGGAUCGUCAACUACUACCAACUGUGGCUCGUCCUCAGUCUCUGAUGAAUCUGCUGUUCAAGUCUCUGAUUCUUGCGAAGGUGAGGUAGGUAUCAAGCAGUCCAACUCGCCAAGGAGUCCCUUAGACUCUCCCUUCGAAUUCGACAACAGCGACCCCAUGUUCUCUCCGUUUGAUUUCCCUACAACACUCGUCAGCAGCACGUUCAAUUCCCACACAGUCAAGUCGGAGCCGAUGUUUUCAUUUCCAAAAGAUAAUUCCUAUAAUUUCUACACCGACGACACGAACCCGGCACUUGUCAAGCCAGUUUCGGCUGGGUUGCCGAAGAGUUUCGCCCGACCCCAAACGCAACAAGAAUUGGUCAAUCCGUAUGGGAACUUCUACACAAACUCUUCUGUCCCAUCAUCGAGCUACCUUUCCUCUAGUCUCAUGACUACUCUACCUGAUCUCUCAGCAGGUACCCAGAGCUGGUCUCAAUCUUUUCUUGACUUACCUUCUAGCCCCGUUCACUCGGGCUACUUCGGGCUACAGGCGCCGUAUCAACGCCAGCGCCCACUCCAACAAUACGCUGGAGCAUACUCUGCGUCGUCGGAGGGAAACAUGGUUGCUCUGGAGAACAUCCACACCUUCAUGAUGACAUAAUCUCAAGUUUGAAUUCGUUAUAUCUGCGAUGCUUCGGAGGCUGGCGCUUUGUAACAGAGGUUUCGUGCCAAUGCCUCAAAAUUUUUGGUGGUGUAUCUAUCUCUUGAAGGAGGGGAGCCAACGGAUAAACAUGAUGCUUUAGGUUUUAGAAGAGUGUACCAUGACUGUGAGGGGUAGUCCGACAUCAGCUUGUAGAGCCCUGUACAUUGUAGGCACAGAAGGUUAGGAUACUAACCAACAUUGACACGGGUAGGUAGUUAUUGGACUUCAGCGCGGAAGUUAUGUGUUGCUUGUAGCGGGAGCGUCACGUCAACGACAAGUUUACAACUUAGUUUUUGACCGGGAGUGUAGAGGUCUACACGACGAUGCCAAGUGUUUCGUUAUCAGGGUAGAGUUGGGCUCAUCUCGACGUUGAGAUAAGGAUACGUCCAAACAGAAAGAGAGAUAGGGUAUUCAGAGAUGGGUCUUCUUCAAGAUGGCGGGUCACAUCUCGUGUUGUAACAUAAUCACGUUUACGAUUGCAAUUACAGCAUGCCACUGACCGGAAGUACACUCUUUUGCAAGCACAUACUCGCAGUCCACCAGUCUCAUUUCUGCAGUCAUGUUCAUUGGUGAGUACUUUCAUCGAGAUUUAGCUCUCCAUCUUUGGGUGCGCAUUUCCGGAGAAAGCGGGGUAAAUGUGAUGCUGCGGUUCGAGAAAUGUGUUCCUUACACUGGAUGUACAACGUUCACCACUGCAUCACGUUACAACGAAUGAGCCGUUGGACAGUUCUAAGGGAGUUGAAUGUUACUGCCGAGUGUGCUGGGCAAGUACUUUUGAGCUGCAUCAUUUAAGUAGUGGCUAAAAGCCGGCUUGCCCUUGCGCCAGACGUGUCACGGUUUUUUGGUUGGUGCCUAGUUUGUGUCUCAGAAUGAAUGUAAUGAAUCCUGAGUUACACAUCACGUCGCAUAUUGAGUCGUUGUUAGAAAUUAUACUCGAUUUUGCUCGGGAGUCGGAUCACAAUGAUAUUAGUCAUACAAAAUGCCAUUUCUGAGGUUUGCGUUCAUUCUCCAAACGAACAGCACAGUCGACAGUUUCUGCGUGUAGUCUCAUUGCUGUGAUAAAAGAGCUCUCCUGCGACUAGCUUAUAUCCUUGUAACUCCACAGAUUUUGGCACACCGAUCUACAUUCUGAAGCCGCUUGUGAUUCACAGAUUGCAUCCAGGUUUCAUCGUUCUCACGCUUGUGCGUGCAGGUUCCACAAAUGCCCUUUUAAUGGGUAGUUUUUCAUGUCUCGAUUGCACCCCACCUAGGAAUACCAAUCAACCAUAUCAUCCAGCCUCAAUGGGUGACGACAAGGCGCGUCUUGUGCUCAGGAAGGUUGAAGCCCGAGUACCAUGUAGAGAUUAAAGUCAACACAAAAAAAUUGAGACGCUAACGAUAUCUCCUCUACUACUACAACACAUUUCAGACAUCAAGCACUUGGCGAGACCUAGUGCAGCCACACUACGCUGUCCUCGAGACACUCUGGCUGCCAAGUACUGAAGAUCUAUGGCCCCCUUGUGCACGCCUUCCAACACUGUCACUGUUACAAUUUAGUGAUAUGCAUACCAUCAAUGUCCAAAGACGAUCUUCUGCGAAAUCAUCCAUAGAUCAUCAUCGCAGAUUCCAAAGGAAAAAUAACGAAGCAGACUCUGCCCGUGCAUCAGUCGAAUACAAUGAAAACAUACGCAUUCGAAACCGGACUUGCAUGGGAAGCUGACACCUCGCAACUUUAGCAUACCGAAGGAUAUGAAGCUUUAGAUGUACAACUCUCCCCUUUCACUUUUUUUCGUUUUGUUUCAUGUUUUUUUUGUUUUAGAUCUCCUGGUUGGUUCGGAGCAUAGGCAGGUAUGAGGACACAUUUCCUACAACAUCCACCGAGCACCAACGCCUCACUCUCUCGCGCUCUCUCUCUCUCUCUCUCUCUCUCUGCCUUUUCGACCUGCUAAGUUUUGUCUUCUGUUUCCUGCUUUUUUCCUUUUAAGAUAUGGUCCUCCUUGUGAUGAAUGAUACUCAUGAUUCCUGUCUGGUCACUUGGUGGGCCAUGUCCUUUGGUGGCGUUGCUAAUAAAGACGAUGUGGCAUGGGACUAGGCGACAAAACUUGCCGCCCAGCUACAUCGCAAUCUAAUCUAGACCGUAGCUGUGCAUGUUGCAUCUUUAAACCCAGAGGGGGACACAACAGUACACAUCAGGAUGCAAAUGUACACAAUUCAAUCUCCAGUAAUUGAGAUGCUUUUGGUCUAUUUUAGCAUGGGUUGUUGUUCUUCCUCCUCCUCUUCACCCGCUUGACUCAGCUACGAACUGUGCGGCAAUUGUUGCAAAGUUGCCAGCAGUUUAUCCGUCUUUGUUCUGCUUUUUGUAUUGGAUACCCUCUUUUGGGUCUGUAUGCACAUAUACACUUUGACAUUAGACAUUUGACUAUUACUUCUCUGAUAUCACUUUAUUUCUUUACUAUUCGCUUUAAGAAUCGCCAAUAUUAUAUAUAUAUAUAUAUAUAUAUAUAUAUAUAUAUCUUCUUCAAUGUACAUGUAUAUAAUCAGAAUGAAUGCUACCAGUUUUAAGAAAUAAAAGUUACUUUAUUUCCUUUUAAAUUAAGGUUGAUUUGAUGAUGAGUGCUUUUUGAGUGACUGGUUUGUGCUCAUAGUAGAAUCUUGUGAACUUUUGUGAUGCUCACACCAUCAAUAUAUAUAUAUAUAUAUACAUGUUAACACACAUAUCAAUAAUAAAGCCACCUAAAUAAUAUUUUAUUUAAUAAAGCUUAAACAUAUUAAUGUAUACAUUAUAUGAAUAAGAUGAUUUGUAUACUAAUUUUUCAAUAAAUUCAUACUGUGUUAAUAUUAACGUGUAACAUAAUGUAUAUCAGAUAUUUAAAAAAAGAAAUUGACGUUAUGAGUAUUGUAGUUUUUAUAUAAAAACUUGCACGUUUUAUCUGAUUGUUUUGAAAUAAUUUUCUUUUGAUAAAUUAAACAUUCACAUUUUUGAAUAAUUUUUUUAGUGUUAAAAACUAUGCUAAUUCUACUGUGUAACUUUUAGAAUUGUCAAAUUUUCGCAACCUCAUCAAUGGUGGGCAUGCAAAAGACUAGUGUGUAAUAAACAUCUAUGUUUUCAUUAAUCUUAUUUAAUAUAUAUUUUCAAAUUUCAGACCUUUUUACACAAAUAUUUAACUUCAUAAAGAUUAGAUGUGAGAUUUCAUUAUUUUACUAUUUUAAAUUUUCAUAUUUAAGAACCUAAGAUAAGAACCCUUUCAAUAAUCUAAUUAUACUUGGUGAUAUUACUACUAAAUAAUUUACCAUCCAUAAUAACUUUAUAAUUUAUAUUUUUCACCAUGAGGUUAUAUAUUCAAACCUUAAUUUAUAUAAUGAUACUAAGAAACCAAAAAAAUUGUUAUAUCAGUAUAACUUACAAUAAACUAUGUUUAUAGACACCUCUGUUAGGAUGUAGUUAUCAUUCAAUUAAUAACACAUAGAAGUAAAAUAUAUAUAUAUAUAUAUAUAUAUAUAUAUAUAUAAUGUGCGUGUCUUUUUAUAGUAAUAAAAUAUGGAUUUUUUCGUUUUUUAAAAAUACUUAAAAAAACAAAAUAUGUGAACAUAUAUACUUUUAUGUGUAUGUAGGUAUAUGUAUAUAUAGCAUUUUUCUUAAAAUAAACAAACUAUCUAAUUCACUUUAUGUAUAUUUAAUGUUUAUGAUAUUUCAUUGCAAAAUGAUUUAAUUUUUUGACAUGGAGAUUGUUUUUAACACUAUUAUUUAUUUGAUCUACCUAAUUUGAGAUCUUUUUAAAAUGAACCUAUAUUGGUCUAAGUUCUAAACUGAUUUUUCAUAUUUUAGAUUAUUAGAUUAUGUACAAAAUAUAUCCCUUUUUUAAUAUUAUAUACAUGAGUAGUUCUCUUUAUAUAUAUUUUAUUAAUUAGACUUUAUAAAAUUAGUUUAUUUUAAAGUUGAAUGAAGAAUUUAAAUUUAUGUUGCACAAGUUUGUGGUUUGAUAAUAUAAUGAUUAUCAAAAAUUCUUGUUAAAAUAUUAGAAAAAUAUUUGAUGUUUAAUUUUUUUAAUAUUGAAUUAUAAAAUAUUGAAUUAGAUGAAAAUAAGUCUUUCUUAUCAUAGAAUAUAGCAAUUACAAUUAGUUAAUUAGUCAAGUAUUUGAUUUGGAAGGAUAGAUCAAUGAUUAGAGUUCUUGUUAAUAUUUUGUAUGGUCUUAUAUUUAAUUGAUACAAAAAAAGAAGAAGAGAUAUUUUGUAAUUAGAAGUAGAUACAAUCAAGAAGAGAUGAAGACAUAGAUCAAAUUUUACACAACAAUGUAGUUUUUUUUUUUUUUUUUUUUUUUCACUUCUUUUUUAUUUUGUUUUAAGUUGUGAUGCAUUAACUGAAAAUGUGAAAUCAAACUGGCAAUCAUUAUGAUAUUUAUCAUUUAAAAUAACUCUCUCUAUAUAUUUUAAAAUUUUGCAAGAAAAAUAUGUUGAAUUAUAUAUAUAUAUAUAUAUAUAUAUAUAUUAUCGUGGGCACAAUCAUUACUAAUAUAAAAGUGGUGGAUUGAUGUGACAAUGCUACUCUAGCAAGAAUAAGUGUUACGUUGCAUAAGAUAAGGUGAAUUUGUAUAUACAACAAAGAUUAAGAGAUACAACGAAGUCUUCUUACUACUUAGAAUUCACAAGAGCAGCAUGAGUUAGAAUGAUCUGUGCGAAAUAACACAAGUUUUCACUGCUUAAUGAUUCUGUCGGUAAGUUAGCCUCUCUCUCUCUCGAUGUAUAUAUAUAUAUAUAUAUAUAUACAUAUAUAUACCAAUAUAAAGAGAGAGAUUCAAGGCUGUAUUGUGGUGCAAUUGCAGUCCGGGAUGUGCUGAGCAUUCAACACCGAGUUGGCGAUCACGGAGCGUUGAAUGCCGCACUCCAUUUAGCCAGCAGCGGCGCGUUCGGACGCAUCCUCCGGAGGAUAAAAUCGCAGCUCCGCAUGAAGAAUCCAACCCCCCCACCUCCCCCCCUUCCCCUACUUCGCUUUUUCCCCACGUUUAAUAACAUCGAAAGGCUGCGGGGGCGAUGUGUUCGAGAUCGCAAUGCGAGGGAGUCCAUGUGCGAAACAGUGCAUACGAUGACGAUGACGACGACGAUGACGAAGAAGAAGAAGAAGCAGACGCAGUGGAAGCACGCGGACCUCUCCGCAUCGAUCAGCGCAAAGCCGGGCGUCUAGUAAAAUCUCGCGAGGUAAUCCCGAGGAAACACGCAGCAGAACCCGAAUCAAAAACCCACCUGGAGUCCCCGAUUCUAGACGAAGGGGGCGAGAGUGGAAGGAUCGCAGGGUGCGAACGUGUGGCGGUCUAGAUUGGUGCUUGACCUGGGUGGCCCCCGACGAAUGGAUCCACGCUUCGCUUCCUUCAUUGCUUACGACGAUGCGACAAUCGACAGGGAGAAGAUUACGAGGUGGAUCGAUCGAUCGAUUGAUGUGGAAGGCGUUCAUCGCUUCCGUGCCCUGAAUCCGGGCUCGCAGGGGAUCCUCGGAAAGUGGUUCAUGAAGUGGGUCUCACCCGCUUGGCCUCCGGAAAACAAAGCUUUGUUUCCCUUCUUCUUAACUUUGAAUGAAUGAAUGAAUGAAUGAAUGAACCCCAUCAUGGUAGAAUAGGGUUGGGGAUGGGCUCUAAAAGUGGGGGUUUUAUUGAUAGGGGGCAUCAUAGGAGGACAAUACUUCCAAGGCAAAAUGAUUAGUGAGUGCUUCUCCAUGCAAGGUGGACAUGACAUGUGUGAAAUAAUCAAUCUCACAAUGUUGCUUUUUGUCUCAAGAAGAUAUUGUUUGUCUAAAGAAUUUUUGAAUUUUUGAAUUUUUGUUUGUUCUUAUUUGUUAAAUGUGGUUGUUUUUGGUGUUUUGUGAUGGCUGCUUUUGAAUUCUUAGUUUCAGAAAACUUGUAGAGUGUCUUAUAAAGACAUCAUUAAUAGUCCAAUCUCAUGUAAGGAAAUUUAAAUUAUGUUUAUAUUUAGACAUUGUGUGUGAGCAAAUAUAUAUAUAUAUAUAUAUAUAUAUAAUUUCUCUUUGUUAGUUUUCCACAAAAAUGGCUAGAAUUUUAUUUAUUUAUUAUUUUAAAAAAAUCAUGAUUUUUUUACGAAUAUAUAUAUAUAUAUAUAUAUAUAUAUAUUAAAUACAGUUUUGAAAAUGUGUUCAUUUAUUUUUGUAUUCUUAAUAAUAAUUGUAGACCAGAAGGAUUCUUCACCUAAAAAUUUAUUUAUUUUAUUUUAUUUUAUUUUAUUUUUUAAAAUAUCAAUAUGAUUUAUGAAUUUUAUGUAUUUAUACUUUUUUGAUUGAAUAAAACGAAUUGGGUACUAAUUAAUUUGAAAAAAGAAAAUGCCCAACUUCAAUUAUCUAUCUAUCUAUCUAGACAUAUGAUUUUUUUUAUCAAAAUAUGAAACUUAUGAAAUUUCAAAGAUUUAUUCGAACUUUUGUUAUCAACAAUCUUAGUACUUUUAUUCAUAAUAGCUUGCAACACUAAAGCCCAUGAUCUUACAAGAAAUCUUCCUUUGGACUGGACAUUCAUCUUUUUGAAUCGAAAAUUAAUUUCAGAAAAAGAAAUUACAAUUAAUAUUUGGUUUAUUUAGGCCCAACUAAUGUGGUAUGUCGUUAAAUAUAUAUAUAUAUAUAUAUAUAUAUAUACAAAUUUAUCUAUAAGCUGAAAUAUGCAUUAAAUUUUUUUUAACUAUAUUUAAAAAAUCAAUCACCUUCCAAAAACCAACCUCAUAAAAUAAUAAAAAUGUGUAAAAUAUAUACAAAAAUUAAGUUUUUAAAUACAACAUUUGCUAAACAUGUCGGUAUUCUUUGUGAACAUUCCAUAUAUAUGCUGGCUCAAAAUUAAUUAUAAUUAAUUUUUUUUAUAUGUGAUCAAGUAUUAAUAAAAAACUAAGAUUUGUUGGACAUCAAACUCAUUAAGUCGUUUUUAUGCUAAUUACGGAAUGUUUAAGUCAACGAGAAUGCUACAUAUUCUCCCACUCUGAACUUACAAUUCGAUACAUCUGUAUACUGAUAUGCCCAAUAAUUAAACACCUCACCAGGAGCUAGAAAUCUCUCUUUGUUGAUUUCAUUCAUUUUUUACAUACAAAUUAUCAAAAAUUAAACCUCUUAGAACUGGUUUAUUCGAAGGAAAAUGUUGUAAAUUGUAACGUGAGACUGGACUUCGACGUCAAAGUUACAAGCAAGCUCUAUAACGAUGUGGUUGCCAAGUAUUGACCAGUUCACAACCAAAAUGAGUGUGAAAAUUGAAUUUUAGCGAAGGCUAAAGCAAUUUCUGUGAUUCUAGAGCCAAAAAUAUGCACUCUGCAUUGAACACACUGCAAUCUGCUUGUGAUCCGAAGGCUUUCUGCGUCUGUCUCAUCUCUUAACAUCCAGCUUUUCAUUGUCUGAUGCGAAGCCCUUCUGCAGCUCAAAUUGCAAACUAGAUGCAUGAUGAGUCUAGUUUAUACAACAACAUUCACAUCAACUCCUCUCCUUCAGGAUUCCUCUCUCCAAGCUUGGUGACCAGCUCUCCUCAGCUUUUCCUGAACACAGCAGCUUGCUUCAGGACUUUUCACGGCUGGUUGAAUUGCUCCUCUAAUUCCGUCCAUAAGCUUCCUCCCCAGCAACAAUGAGCCUAUUCUGUAGGCUACUCAGGUCGAUCCGAGGGAACCUUGGUCGCUGUCGUGAAUAUCCAAACUUUCGUUGCAACAUGACACGAUCCCCGAGUGUAUGUGUGUGUUUUUUUUCGCAAACAUGACGAUUUAUUCGUCGUUACAAAGUUUGCCCAUGAGAGUGAGGUUGACCAGUGUACGAAACACCAUUCCCUGCUGACUCUGCCCCAGGUCGAGUUCCGCCCAAAAAGAUGAAUUCUCUCAGGAAGGAAGCUAACAAUAAUGCUCACAUAUUUCCACAUAGUUGAGCUUCUCAAAUUCAACGUCUCAUCCCGAUCUUCCAGAAGACACAUCUACGCCAGCAUCCAUAAAAUCAGGCAUCACCGCCGCUCAAAACCACUCCAAUUGCCUUAUUUCCGUUCUGGCAUUGAGGUCCAUGAACAAAACUGUCACAUACUAAUCACACCGUCGACAAACCUCAUAUCGAUAGAUUCAAGUUGUGCUUCAGUGACACUGAGAGGAGUUGUGGAUAGAACAGAUUCUCUCAACAGAUUCUCCGCUUCUUACAGAUCGUUUGCCAUAGCUGAAGCAUGCAAUGAACAAUUGUCACGUUCACCAUAUCAACUGAAAUACGGAUGGGAGCAUGUUGCAAUGACGAUCUCUGCUCUACAAAUGAUUUUUGCACUACAUAAUCGAAUAAUCUGCAGUAAUGGCUUCGGUUUCUUCAGCUUGAACCCAUCUACAACGUGUGUGGCAUUGCUGAUCUGGGCUCUGAAUUGCAAAGCUUGUGCCUCAAAAACUUGUUACUGAGAUUCCAACAGCUUGAAACAACACAUGUUGGUCAUUGAUGUGGGUAGAUAACCUACAAAACUUGAGCUUCCCACACAAUGUCCGUGUAAUUGUGGGAAGUUCCUGCAGUGCCUGAAGUGUGAGAAUGAAGCGAAAGAAAUGAAGCCUUAGUACAAGUCAUUGUGUUUCCAACAUGUGCAAUUACUGUUGCUCUUUAAUGGCAAUUUGGGUUUAGUAAGUGGCGUUUGAUACGUUUCAUUUUUAUCUAUUUUUUUCUUAACUUUAAAAAAAAAAAAAAAAAAAAAUGUAUAAAAUAAGUGAUCUAUGUUAUUGCUUGACCUUCAUUGUAUUUGUAUUUGUGUUAGUAUUUCUCGUAAGAAAUUUCUGAAGUUUUGUACUCUAUCUACUAUUGUAUCAUGUCUGUUGACUAUAUAUAUAUAUAUAUAUAUAUAUAUAAAAAAUAAAAAUUUAGAUAUUCAUUUGCACUGAUAAUUUCACAUGAAAUAAACAAAAAAUUGAACACAUGUUUGAUUUUGCAAUUGAGACUUGAUUCUUUUAUCUUUAAAUUCUAACACCAUAUCUAUUGAUGAGGAAUUGAUGAGGAAUGUCCUCUUUGAAAUAUUUGAAAUUUUAUUUUAAAAUUAUUUUUUGUUGUGAAGGAAAAUAUUUAAAUCCAAUUUUUUUAUACACACAAAAAAUAAUUUUGUAAUUUUAGAUUUAUUUAAUAAAAUAGAUUUAUAUAAUUCUUAAUUAUUACUUCAAAAUAAAACAUAAUAAAGGUUUUUGUACUGAAUUAACAAGUGCUUCUGAAUCGAAUGCAAUUUAACAAAACCUGCAAUGUGCAAAGUCAAAGUCUUGAUAAGUUGUAUGUAGAAAGUAAAUUACAAUAUCUUAAAUUUGGAUCUAAAAUAAAUGUUAAAUUUUAAUACAAUAUGCACAUGUAAGAUUGGUCUAAGAUUACAAUUGUUGUUAAUUUGAAGUUAGUUGUUUAUAAUUUAAGCUGUUACUUGAAGAAAUAAAUCUAUUUAAUAAUGUUCUUAUUAAUGAUAAAAAAAUAUGUUAAAAUUUACCAAUAAAAAAUUUAGAUAAAAAAAAUAUUUGUAUAAUAGCAAGGGGUUGCAAAGUAGAGGAGGAAGAUGGAGGAAGUGUAAAGUGGGGCUAAUUCCAUGUGGGAAUGGGAAUAGGGGGAUGUGGGGAAGUCAGGACAGGGGACAUGAAUGGGAACGGGGACAAAGAAUAGGAAACAAGGGAGGAGAAUAAGGACACGGGGGUUCAAGACUGGAGACAUGGAAUGAGGAAGAACAGGGACAUGGGAUUAGAAACAAGGGACAAAGAUGGGGAAUGGACGGAAUCAAUCAUGAGAUUGCAAGGAAUCUAAGAUUAACUUUUGAUAAUUGCAAAAUCACUAUUCAUUAAGUACAAGUUUUAAAGCAAGUAGUAAGUUAGAUUAUGAUGUAAUCAUAGAGUAACACAUCAAGUCAAGAAAAACUCGCAAUUGGUACUAAAAGUAUCCUAAAAUUUGGCAGUGGUCCAAGUGGAAAUAAUUUACAUUGAGUUUAAUAUCCACAUCAAAACUUACUUUCAACUGUUAUGCUACUGUCUUUUCAUGUUUUAUUAAGAAGAAUAAACGAAAAAAUAAUCUUUAAUAAAAAAAAACAAAUGUUCAGAAGAGUAUUUUCUUGUGGAAAGGUAGACUUUUUGGCAGCAUCCCUGUCGACAAGAAAAAUUAUUGGUGAUGGAUUCAGUUAUUUUUUGAAAACUCUAUAAACUUUCAAUAUGAACAUAUGUUUUGACAGAAUAUUGUUUGUAUGCAUCAAGUGUGUGCAGAUCUACAGUUCCCAUACUUUUGAUCAUUAGCGAACCAAAACCGUACGUUUUCAUUUGUUAAAAUAAGGUUUAUUUUCUCCAAUGCAUUAAAAAACUGCACCAAAGACUAUAUAUAUAUUUUUUGAGAAUUUCACCUUACAGGGUGGCUUCAGGAACGUUGUUUAAAACAAAAUUCUGAGUCACACGCUUUCACUUCUGAUGCCGCUUAUUCGUGCUCCUGUUUUUUUUAAAUCCUUGAGAGUGCAAUUAGGAAGCUGCACCACAGUACUUUCAUGUAUAUUCAUAGUCUAAACCACCAACAUAGAUUCAAGGACAUAAUUUCAGAUGUAUCUUGAAAACUUUCAGAUUUUUAGAUUACAAGUAAGUUUACCAUGAUGAUAAAUUAUAACUCGAAAGGUUUAAUUAUGUUCGCCAGAUCAAUGUUGAGAACACUUACAGAAAUAUAGUCUUGUUGGCAGACACUUACUAUUGAGCGAAUCAUUUUGGCGGUCUGGUAAACUGUCUUUCAAGUAGAGCCUCGGUAUAAGACCAUCUUUAAGGGAAAACGGUGGCUUCAAUCUCCACAGUCAGUUCCAGAGGCAGGUGCACGGAAGCACCGCUACAUAAUGAAUACAUUGAACUCCAUCCACUAACUCUUUCACUAAUACAUCCAAACGUCAGUCUAAACUUCGGCAUUCACAAAAGGUUGGGAUGUCGCCAUCAGUCACGGUGAUAAUGCUCCAUCUUUUUGUCAAAUUCAACACUUCAUCACAUUCUUAGAGAAUAAUCCACCCAAUCAACAAGCAUCCUAAUCAACAGACACUAAACAGAGUAAAAGAUCCAGACAAAAAUCACAAAACCAUUGAAUCAACAACCAAAACGAGAGAUGCUCCAUUAUCCACUAUGUGGAACCCACCAUAUAUUAUUAAUGCAAUGAUGACUACCACGUUUUGAUUAGAAAAAACAGCCUUCAGAAGGAAGCAUCAGGGCAAAGUUCGCCACUACUGUACAUCCAAUUCCUGAGGACAUAUCACAGAGAUACUCAGGGAAGGAAGCCGUAAAGUGGUUGCAAACUCUAUUACUUGAUGAACAGAGCAAAGCUUCUAAAACUCAACAUCUGGGGCGCUGCUUGGAUGUUUGAAAAGCGAACAUGAGCAAGUUAACGGAUGAGCAAAGUGGGUGUAAACAGGCAAAGAAUGCCGAAAAUACUUGCUUAUGCCAUAUCCUUAGCCAGCUUCUCUGCCUUCUGUGAAACCUCCUCAAUGCCGCCAACCAUGUAGAAGGCCUGUUCAGGCAAGUCGUCGUACUUUCCAUCCAACACACCCUGCACGUCAGGUUGAAGUCGUCAGGAACAGCACUAUCGAAAGUUGAAACCAUACUUUCAAGGGCAAACCUCUCUCGCAAUUACCGAAGAACCCUAAUCAAAACAAACCAGCUUCUGACAAGGAAAAUCACAACUACCACAUACCAACUCAUAUAAAACAGUCAUCUUCAAAUUUUCUUUGUCUCCCACAAUAGAAGUUUAAAAGGGCAUAAGUGGCUCACCCGGAAUCCAGCAACGCUGUCUUUCAAGUCCACGUACUUUCCAGGCGACCCUGUGAAUACCUCGGCCACGUGGAAGGGUUGACUCAAAAAUCGCUGCAUCUUCCUCGCGCGUGCCACAGUCAACUUGUCGUCUUCGCUCAGCUCGUCCAUACCCAAGAUGGCAAUGAUAUCCUGCAAGUUCUUGUAGUUUUGCAGCACCUUCUGCACAUCUCGUGCGCAGUAGUAAUGCUCCUCUCCCAAAAUGCGCGGGGACAGCAUACGGGAGGUCGAAUCCAAAGGAUCCACAGCAGGGUAAAUACCCAGCUCAGAAAUUUGACGAGACAGCACAGUCGUGGCGUCCAGAUGGGCAAAAGUAGUCGCUGGGGCAGGAUCCGUCAAAUCAUCGGCGGGCACAUAAAUAGCCUGAACCGAGGUGAUCGAUCCCUUCUGCGUUGUCGUGAUUCGCUCUUGGAGUCCUCCCAGAUCAGUCGCCAGAGUAGGCUGGUACCCCACAGCAGAUGGGAUACGACCCAACAGAGCAGACACCUCCGAAUUCGCUUGGGUGAAACGGAAAAUGUUGUCGAUAAAGAACAACACAUCCUGCCCCUCAGCAUCACGGAAGUGCUCUGCCACAGUCAGUCCAGUCAGACCCACUCGGGCACGGGCACCAGGGGGCUCGUUCAUCUGUCCAUACACCAGAGCGCACUUGCUCUCCAUCUUCCCCAACCAAACCCAACAGGUCAUCAUUAGCCUUCAAAGACAAAUAAAAGGUAACGAAUUCACAGAGUAAACCUACCUCUAAACCAUACCGUAACUGCAACAUAAAUGAUAGAAUAGUAGUGAUUUAUAUCAUCAGAAAGAUCUUUUCAGGAUGUCACCAUCUACCGCUCACCGCUACCCACUCGGUCUUACCUGCUUGUCACCCAGCUUGAUCACACCACUCUCAAUCAUCUCCUUGUACAGAUCGUUACCCUCACGGGUGCGCUCUCCUACUCCAGCGAACACUGAAAAUCCUCCGUGGGCCUUUGCAAUGUUAUUGAUCAGCUCCAUGAUCAGCACCGUCUUCCCCACUCCUGCACCGCCGAACAGUCCAAUCUUACCACCUCGCUGGUAGGGCGCCAAUAGGUCAACGACCUUGAUUCCAGUCUCCAAAAUCUCCAUCUCUGUUCCUUGGUCCACGAAGGCAGGGGCCUCACGAUGAAUUCCAAGAACAUGCUCUCGGCCUACAAGCCAUUACCACUCUUAGGAUUUCACUCUCCCAUCAGAACCAACACUAACACAGGGAUUCGGAACUGUAAACGCACAUCCACUUGAACAGCAAGUACAGACAAUGCUGACACCCAUCAAUUGUGCACUUACUGAUAUCGCCUCUCUCGUCGAUAGCUUCACCAAUGACAUUGAUAAUACGACCCAAAGUUGCACGCCCCACGGGGACCUGCACAAUCGGAGUAUCAAAUUACCCGUUCGAUUCAACCCGAUUCAAAAACUCAUGAUCUGAGAGUCUCGUGCAUCAGGAAUCUAAGCAGCACAUAAUGGAUUCAAAAACCUACUAUUCCCGCUAACUCGGAUGCGUGUGAUUCCUCGACAGAAUCAGAAUUUCCAGCUCAGAGUGAAAAUGUCAAAACAUACACUGUUUCCAAUCUGAGUACUUAAGAGGUUUCACAUCUCAGGAAAAAAGAACUCUAAUACUGUGUACCAAACGAAUUGUGGAACAUAUGAUUAUCUGGAAAGUUACAUGCAUAUCCUCUAAUUAAACGAGCUGAUAAUUAGCAUUAUGUCAUCAUGUAACAACACUAAAGAUACACGUUCGCAUAGUAUAACAUGAACAUGACCUGUAAUCUCAAUUACCGCAGAUUCACACAAGAAUGUUCGCGUUUAGUAAUUGUACCAAAUCUGAUCACCAUUCCACAAAAGUCCAUCACUAAAACACGGAACGGCCACAUUACACUCAGACGGCUACACAAAUCCAGAUGCAAUCAAACAGGCACAGAAGAGCCUUCGACCCGGAAAAUUCACCAAAACAAAAUAAACAUCCUAACCACCACCACAUCCACUCAACAAAGGUUCUCACCAUGAUAGGAGACCCGGUGUUCAACACUCGCUGCCCGCGAACAAGCCCAUCGGUCGUUUCCAUAGCAAUCGUCCGCACAGUGUUCUCUCCCAAAUGCUGCGCCACUUCCAAUACAACCCUCAGGUUGUGGUCCUGCACCUCCAAGGCGGUCAGAAUGGGUGGCAAGCCCUUCUCAAACUUCACGUCCACCACGGCUCCGAUCACUGUCGCAAUGGAACCCACGCUUCCAGCGCCGGUGAAGUCCGUCGAUUUGUUAUCUGUGGACAUGCUGCGCGCUAGCGCAGGUGUUACAGCCCUGACGCCCUGGAACAACGACGAUCGGGACAGGCCCUUGGCAGCCGCAUUCGCGACAGCUCUGCCAUUGGGGGCAUUGGAAGACACCGAUCUCGACCCCUUCGGGGUCUGACAAGACGCGAGCCUGCGUGAGCCAGCCCGCAGCGCAGCGGCCAACGCCUUGCGUCCCGACAUGGCCGUCUAUCACCCUACAAACCCCUCCUCCUCAGAAAACCAAAAACCCACACUCGACAACAAGCAAAAUCUCCCGCACACCCUCUAGGGUUUGCGCUCGGGGCUCCAGCACCGAAAACUUGAACACACAGGUAAGAAGAAGCUUUCCUGGCCCCUCUUGUGUCGCUGCGUCGCUGCCAUGCACAACGGGGCCAACCCGACUUCGAAGGGACAACGAUCAUCGGCAAACGAAUGAAGCUUCCGGGGAUCUAGGUUUUGCCUGGUUCUCAACCGAUCGAUAUCUGUCUAUUGGAUUCUGGGUAAUUCCGAGAUGCGGCGUCGCGGUUGGUAGAUCGCGCCGCGAUUGUUGUCAGUGCGGCGACGAAACUCUUGUGAGAUGGACCGAGUGAGUGUGAGUGCGGUGAGUGACAGAGUGAGUGACUGGGUAAUUCCCUCGUCUUAGUUACUUGCGGGUCCCCGUAAUCAACUCACUAAUCCUAUUACUAAGUGGGAUUAGCUUGCUCGUGUCCCUUUGCCUGUUCCAUUAGGGUUUAUUACAGUCGAACCAAGCGGGUGUUUUCCUUUUCCUUUAUCUUUUUCUUACUUUAGUUUAUUUUGUUUUAUCCUAUUCUUUUACUCUCUGCAAGCGGUGUAGGAACUCAACGUCUGGAAUUUAUCAUCAAAUGUUGUCAUGUGUUUGUUUGUUUUAGUGAGAAUAAUUAAAGGUAAUGUUUCUGAUCUUUUUAUUUUUGUAGGUUUCAUAAACAUGGUUCCAAUUUCUGUAAUAGUUUUUAUUUUUCAAAAAAAAAAAUUUUAAAAGAGAAAAUAAUUACCUUGCUGAUUUUUUUAUUUCUCGAACAAAUUUGUAGGGUCUAUGCAUCAGUGAUUGCGAGUCAUUCAUGCUACCUUCUGAGACUAGUCUUUUGUACUUUUCAACUUGCACCACAAAAAUUAUUGGUCAUAAAGAUAGGUUCUGUUUUGCUACCAAGAUGUUUAUAAUGCUGUGGGAAAAUGGACGGAUAAUACAUUUUAGAAAACAAUCUGGCAUUGUAUGCAUAUAUUUUCUUGAAGUAAUAAAAUCAAACAGAAAAAAAAAUUGUAUGAGUAAAUUAUUUUAUAUGGAUAAAGAAAGCAAUGACAUAAUAAAUGUAAAACUAAUAAAAGAAAAAUGCAUCAUAAUACAACAAAAGUAUAAUUUCGGACAUUACAUUGAAUUGUAAUCAUUUAACAAUCACAUAUUAACUUUUAUAUGUAUGAAUAUAUAUAUAUAUAUAUAUAUAUAUAUAUACGCUUAUGAAGCAUAUAUAAUAGUUAUAUUUCUAUUAAGAUUUUGAAAAAUUUAUACUUUUUCUAAAAUAUAUGUAAUAAAUAUAAAACAACAUAUUGCAUAUAUAUUAUUUUUUAAUUUAUUUAUAUAAAUUAAACUAACUUUGUAAAUUUAUACACCAUAGAAUAUUGACAAGAUUGAUUAUGUAUACAAAGUGACUUAUUAUUAUACUAGUUGUCAUAAGAGUUUCUUAAAAAAUCUAAAGAUGAAUAAUUUAGUAAUAUAUCUAUUUUAAUGUUAUAAUUAAAUAUUAAUUAAAAUCAGACAAGUGUAUCAUAUUUAUUUAUUUAUCAUUAAUAUCAUAAUUAUUAUGCUAUUGAUAAAUAAAAUAUAAUACAUAUUCUACUAUAAUUAAGACCUUAUGAAUUUUUCAAAAUAGAUUUAUUGUAAUUAAAUUCAAAAAAGAUUCACAAAGAUUAAGACUUUAAAAAUAUAAUUUUAAUUAAUAUCUUUAUUUUAGAAAAAUAUUAUGACCAAAUAAAGCCAUGUUAGGAUGUGUUCUUAUCAAAGACAAGAACUUGAAGAAUGUAAUUAAAGAAGUGAAAUGUGUUUCAAUAUAUAUAUUGAAGAAGAAAUUGGAAUGGUUACUACCAAAUACAAGAAUUAAGAUUCUUAAAACUAUAUUAAAUUAGAUUCUUAAAGCUAUAUUAAAAGCAAGAAAGGAAUUGACAAGAAUGAAGAAAUAAUCACUCCUAUUUCUAUAUAUACUAUUUAAUUAAAGAAGUAUGUGGCUACAUUCUAAACAUAAUUUAACACAUGUCUAACCAACGAGACAUGUGUCUAACUAGUAAGAUAAGUUUUCAACAUAUGUACUACAUGGCCAACUUAUAAAGCAUGUAGUCAACAUGUGCAAUACAUGGCCAACUCGUUAACUAAGUUUUCAAACUAUCAAUCACCCACAAGCAUUUUGGAAGUCAAAUCUAUGUUUAUGAAGCUUCUAAGAAGCUAUUCUAUAAGAUGGUAUCAAAUUUACCUACUUCUAUUUAACUUUUUUUAUCUAAAUAAAUACUAGUGUUAAUAUAUAUUUCUUUGACAUAACACUCAUUUUAAAGAUGAGUUCUAAAAGGAGCACUAAUUACAUGUUGAGAAAGUCUAUGAUACAACAAAUUAUAUUUUCCACAUACUUUGAUCUUUAUUCUUAACAAAUGUAGUUGAUAGGUCUUUUAAAUCUUUUGUAAUAUUUCUUACUAAGGUAAAAAGACCACUUUGUUAUUUGAUUAUUAUUAAGUUCUUCAUAACUUUUUUCAAGUAAACAUUUGGAAUGCCAUCAAAAGUAGUUUAUGUCUCCAAUAAUUUUAUUAAACAUUGAGAGGCUCUUCCAAAGUUGUGAUAUCAAACAUGUUGUAUCUCACCAUCUAUUUUAAAAAAAAUGUGUCAUUCUUGAGGAUCUUCACAUCUAUUAUGUUGUCUUAAAGUCUAUGAUAAUUUCAAUUGCUAAUUUAAUAACUUAGCAAAAAAUAAUUCUUGAUUUGAAUUUUUUAAUUAUUGAUUUAUCAUCUCAUUAAUAUUACAAAUAUAAAAAUAAAUCACAAAAAAAGGUAGAAGAUAAAAUGUAAUCUUUACUAAACUUGCUUUAUUUUAUAAUACAUAAUUGCUUAACUCUUCAUUUUAGUAUUCAUGGAUGAUGUCAAUAAAAAAUAUCAACCUUCAUAACUAUAAUUUAAAGUUUCUUAAAUGGUUGCUACAAGCAUUCACUAAUAUCAUAUUUGUAUCAACAUACAAGAUAUUCUAACAUAUUUUGGUCCUAGCUUAAGUUUAAGACUUCUUCUUUCUUAAAUUCUUAAUUGUUGUCUAUUUCUAUAGAAUGAAGUGGUAUCUAUUUUCUUUCCAAUAUAUGUAAUUUCUUUUAUGGCUAAAGAAAAAACAUAUAGAAUAUAAGAUAAAUCUUCAUAAACUCUAAUAAGUGUAAUUAAUAUGUAAUUAGAUUGAACUAUUUAGAAUAAAAAAUAAUCUAAGCUUUAAAGAAAUUUUCUCUCAAUAUUAGAGGUUGCAGAUUAUCUUCUUCAAAUUUGACUUAUGGAUUUGUUAAAUUGUUUGAAAUGGAAGAAAAAAUCAUUGAUGCUACACUCGAUAGAAGUGAAAAUAGAUUUGUAACUAUUGCAAAUCUUCACGAAUUUGUCAAUACUGUUAGAGUGGAAAUUUCAUGCAUUUCUGGUACCAAUCAUGAAAACACUAAUUUUAUGCCUAUGGAAGAAGUUCAAAAAUCUACAUUAAGAAGUUGUGCAGUUGAAGGAAGCAAGUAGAUCGACCUCACAACCAAAUCAAGGAAGUUUUACUUCUACAAGUAUGACAGAGACACAAAUAAAUAUGCUUGAUAAGUUGAACACAAUGAAAUCAAGUUUUCAAAGAUUUUUGAAAUAAGUCAAGCUCUAUCUAAGGUUGCAUCCUUUUCAAUAUCCUAAUGGAUGUAUUCAAAUUAGAUUCACAAAUAUACUUCUAUUUAAAUUUUAUUUAUUUAUUUAUUUAUUUUUAUUAUUAAUAAAAAAAGAUUCAUGACUCUUUUAUGAUUUAAAUUCAUUCAUAGAAGUAUUUACAACUACAUUUAGAAAUAGUGAUCAAGAAAAAGUAGCAAAGACUAAGCUUAUAUCUUUACAAUAAGGAUUAAGAUCAACUAUUAUAUGUGUUGUUAAAUUCCAAAACCUUGCUUGCAACAUGGAUUGGAAUGACAAAGCCUUGAUCAAUCAAUUUUGAUAUGGAUUGAAGGAUAACAUCAAAGAUUUGUUAUUGGUAAUGUCAAAAAUAAAAUCUUUGGAACAAUUUAUUGCUCAAGUCAUUGCAUGUGACAAUCAAUUAUUUGAAAGAUGUUAAGAAUAAAGACUUGCUUAAAGAGGAAUAAGCUAAGUAAUGACAAUAUUUAGAUUCUUAACUAAGUAAGAAAAGAUUUGAUGUCAUCAAAAGGGUUUAUGCUUAUAUUAAAGAGAAGCUAAGCACAUUGUUCAACAUUGUUAAAAAAAUAAUUCAAUCACAAAAUGAAGAAUACAAUUGCCAAAGAAGAUAAUGUAUUAAAAAACAAGUUUUUUCAACUGCAAUACAAAUUAUGUAGUUGGAAUCAUGUGCAAUACCUAAUAAAGGUCUUAUUCUUUCCUUAGAUCUUUCACCUUGUUUUAUAAUUGAUGUAUAUUUAGGACCUAAAAAUCACAAAGUCUUUGCAUUAUUAGAUUCAAGAGCCUCAGCUUGUUUUAUAUACAAAGAUUUUACCAAGAAACAAGAAAUAACUUUAGUCAAGAAUAAUUAAAUCCAUACAUAUAGAAGUCAUAGAUGGUCGUUUGUUGUCUUUUAGAGAUAUCAUUCAUAAGAUUUUUCUUUUAGAUGUAGCAAUUAAAGUUCAUAAUAAUAUAAUUAUAUUUAAUAUAUAUUAAGAUAUUUCUCCAAUCCAAUUAUUUUAGAAUUAUCAUGGUUAAAAAAAUAUAAUCUUUAGAUAGAUUGAAUUUCUUAUGACCUCAAUUUUUCUUGUAAUUUAAUCCAAAACCUCAAAAGUAAAGUAAAUAAGCCUAAUACAUCCAAACUUUUAUAGGUAUGUGCAAGAACUUUUAUGCAUGUAGCAAAAAAAAAAAGGUCAUCUUUUGCUAUACAUGCCACACCCAUUUUUAAUAGUGGAAAGUCGUCAAGUGGUAUUUUUAGCUAGUAUUAAGAUUUUAAGGAUAUUUUUGAAAAGAAAAAUACAAAUAUUUUUUCAAAGCAUUGAUUGUAUGAUUAUACAAUUGAUAUAUAAGAAGGAGCUCAACCACCAUUUAGAUUGAUCUACAACUUAUUGCAAAAUAAAUUGGCUAUACUAAAUGAAUACAUUGACAACAACUUAGUUAAGAAAUUUAUUUACCAUUUAAAAUCUCCAACAAGAGCUCCUAUCUUAUUGGUGAAGAAAAAAGAUGGAUCUUUGUAGAUGUGCAUAGACUAUUGAGGAGUUAAUAAGAUCACCAUCAAGAUUAGGUAUAUCAUAUUUUUUAUUUCAAGACUUCUUAAUCAACUCAAUCAAAAAAGAUCUACAAAAAAAUAAAUCUAUAAAGAGCAUACAACUAGAUCCACAUUAAAAAAAAAAAAAAAAAUGAAAGAUUGCUUUCCAAACUAGGGAUGGCGUUGUACCACAUGUAUUCUUGCUUAAGAAUGCAUUAGGCACCUUGUUGUGGAAGGUAAGUAGAAAUAAAAGAACAAUCCUAUCAAGUCUAAUAAAAUAUUAAAUAACUUUAAAUAGACCUUAACAAUCUUGAUUAAAUUUUGACUAAUUCAAAAUAAAUUUAAAAGAAUUUAUAAAAAAAAUACAGUAAAUUUUCAAACUAAUCUCAAAGAAAAAUAACAAGAAAUCUUAAAGAAAUAUAAAAAUAAAUCUUUAACGAAAUAAUAACAAUCUUAAAAAAAUAUUAGAAAUAAAAACCUUACAAGAAAUAAUAAAGAAUCCUAAAGAAUUAUUAAAAAUAAAAAUUCUAAUUGAAAUCCUAAUUAAAGACUUAAUUGAACCUAAAUUAAAUUCUAUAUCAAAUUCUAAUAAAAUCCUAAUAAAAUCUUAAAUAUUAGACAAAUCCUAAACAAAUCCUAAUCAAUUCCUAGUCAAGUU
RNAcentral lists this long non-coding RNA (57851 nucleotides) under Physcomitrium patens. RNAcentral describes it as "long non-coding RNA (PPAT_LNC003974)". The record is from RNAcentral. Lineage: Eukaryota; Viridiplantae; Streptophyta; Bryopsida; Funariales; Funariaceae.